RNAcentral lists this long non-coding RNA (84105 nucleotides) under Vitis vinifera (wine grape). RNAcentral's name for it is "long non-coding RNA (VVIN_LNC001392)". The record is from RNAcentral. Lineage: Eukaryota; Viridiplantae; Streptophyta; Magnoliopsida; Vitales; Vitaceae.
CCAGGGUUGUGACCAUAAUGUGGUGGCUUCUCUCCCUUAGGUGGCUUGCCAACUGGGGUUGGUGGCUUGUGUUCAGGAAGUGGUUUCUCUCCCUUGGGAGGUUUACCAAUUGGGGUUGGUGGCUUGUGUUCUGGGAGUGGUUUCUCUCCCUUGGGAGGUUUAGUGGGUGACUUGUGUUCUGGAGGUGGCUUCUCCACCGGAGGCUUGUGCUCCGGUGGUGGCUUCUCCACCGGAGGCUUGUGCUCCGGUGGUGGCUUCUUGAUUGGAGGGGGCUUGGGGUAAUCAGCAAGAGAUGGGAUGGUGAGAACCACCACUCCAAGGAACAACACUAGCAAGUAUGUGGGAGACAUUUCUGAGUUUGAGCUGAUCAGAUGAUGCAAAACUAGAAGAAUUACGGGACCUUUUAUAGCAAGUAUCUCCCAAUACCCACAUGACACGUGUUACUAUGACCAUAAAUAUUAUAGGGUCCAUUUGUGCCCUACCGGGUUGAAAACUUGGACGCUUGGCCGAGGACACACCUGACUAUGGAGGACUAUUGACGUGUGAUCACAGCUUUUGGAUUUUUCUUCCUGUGCAGCUGUCUAGCGGUUGGCAUUAUUUUCUUAAUCUUAAAUAAAGGCAUAGUUAUAGAGUUGUUUAAUCUCUAAAUGGGAUUUUAUAUAUCUUCAGAUAGCCAUUAAUAUAUUUGAUGAAGAAAGACAAGUGCAUACAACAUGUAUACGGCUUGCUUCAAUCGAGUACAUUUAUGAUCAGUUUUCCUGUGCAAGUAAACCAGUUUUUUGUUCCACAACUAUUUUGGAAUCUUGUUUAUCAGUUUCUAUCAUUAUAAUGUCACAUAGGCUGCAAACUUGGGCACCCAAAGAUCUAGGUGGGCAAAUUUGUUUCAGACUUUCAAUGGUGGAUUCAGUAAUUGUUAAAAGGUGUUUCUUCAUUAAGGAAAGAGUCCGGUAAAAAUAUUGUUAAAAGGUGUCAUAGAAACUAUAAUAAAUAAAUAACUUCUUUUCCCCAUGGGUGGUGUUUCUUCUGGGGAUCAGUGACUGGUUAGGGUCACCCAAAAUGAGUCCAGAUUAAAAUUGGUUCGAGUCAAAGCAGUCUCUUUUGUCCAGAAAUCAACUAUUUUGCGCAUUGAAUGAAUCGAUAAAGAAAAAAUGAAAGCCAAAUCACACCUCCCCUGCAAAACCUAAACCCCGGUUGCUAACUUUCUAUGUUUCAGUCCUAUUCAUAUAGGAAUAUUGGUUCAAGUUUGAGAAAAAUGGCAACUUACCUAGGGUUUACUUGGUUUUGGUUUGCGACUAUUUACGCAACCAACCAUGAGUUUGACUUUAACGUCAUGGGUUGAAGCCUCCUACAAUCAUGUAUGAUAGUUCAAAGCUCGUGGAAGAAAUUAUACAGGAAGGAAGAAACCUCCAAAGCUAGCUCCAAAAGAGAAUUAUCACAUCGAUAGCUCCAGAGAUUCCCAAGGGAACUGAAUCAAAGACAAGUUCCUCACUUUUUCUUCUUUUGAGGCCAAAUAUGAACCAAGGAUCACACGACCUCAUUCAACUUCAUAAGUUUGAUUUCAUGCAGUUGAACACUGGGUGAAGGCCAUGACAAGAAUUGAUUAAAAAAUUCUACCACUCUUUUAAGUAAUGGAAGAUUAUUAUCUCUGAUUGGCACCACAACAGCACAUGCUGCUAGAUCUUUCUAGACACUCCAUGCAAUGAAAGCACAAUGGAUCUUGUAAUGAUAGAAACUAAGCCAUGCUACAGUACUAGAUGAGGGGGUAAAACUAGUAGACAUCUUUCUAGACACUCCAUGCAAUGAAAGCACAAUGGAUCUUGUAAUGAUAGAAACUAAGCCAUGCUACAGUACUAGAUGAGGUGGUAAAACUAGUAGACAUGGCUGGCAGUUGAUUACUACUCAAAAAGUACUCUUUUAUAGCUUGAAACUAACUGUUUUAAACACUUUUGAGUAGUAGUUAAUACCUUUUAACUUAAUUGGCACAUUAAGGAACCUAGCAAGGGUUACUAAUCAACAUUUGGCAAGUUUUGAUGUUUUUGGUAGCUAUUUGAUCAUUGAAACAAGCCAAGAAUGAGGGGGAAUUUUGUGAAGUCCAUGGCAAUGCAAGUUAAAGCUCAAAUACAUGAAGAAUCCAAGCUUUGGAGCACUUCAUAGCCCUUUGCCAAGCCAAUCAAAGAUGCAAGGAAGAAAACCAAAGGAAGAAAUCCAACAAUCAGCAUUUUGGCAUGGCUAUGUGAAAUUUCGCACACCAUGCGAAACCACAAGAGGCAGCCAAAGAAUUUCGCAUGGUAUGCGAAAUCUUCUUGUGCACUGACUCUGUUAGAUUUUUAUCUUCAGAUAUUUUGUGUAAUUUCCUAGUUUCUCCUUGUAACCAACUUAGAUAUUUUCUUUUAUAUCUUUUUUUAUAUUUUUUAGGUAACAUCAUAUAUAAGAGGAGAGACAUAAGGAGGAUAUGGAUGUUUUUCAUAGAACACUUGUAAAUUUUUGGUAGUAAGAAAUAUACAAAGCUUUUUGCUCUGCCUUACCUUCUCAAGGGAUGAGUGGCUAGGUUUUCUUGGAGUGAGGGAAGCUAGGUGAAGGACCUGAAUGCAAAGGUGGGAGUUUUCCUUACUUUAAAUGAAAGUAGUUGUUAAACAUUAAUGGUUUUUAUUUUAAGGUUUAGCUUUAAAUCCCUGAAAAACACCUUGAAUGGCCAAUACUUGGUAAGCUUUUUAGAUUCUAUGGAUGCUUAUUGCUAGAUCCAUGGAUGUCUAUUAGUUAUCAUUUACGAGCCAUUGGAAGGUGAUUCAAGGUGAGGGUCUUUAGUGUUUGAAGCCAUUAAUGGGAAGCAAUUACCAUUUUUUCAUGAAUCCUUUGGAUCAAAUCUUAAUUGCUAAAUAUAAAACCGGUUUCGAGAGAUAACCACCAUCCUUUAUGUUAUUAUCCCCAACGCGAGGAGAAGAUCCGAAAUCUUCCUUUUUAUCUAAGGAACCCGAUCCUAGUGACCUAAAGCUCCAAGAUACCUUUUCUUUGUAGUUAACUUCAUUUAUUGUUUUUGCUUAACUUAAAAUCAAUCUUUGCAACCACAAUUCCAUUUUCUUUAAAAGCUAAUUUUUAUAAGGAAAAACACCAUUUUAUUUCCUUCACUAAGUCAACUGUACGAUGAAAACCCAUCCCUGUGGACGAUCCUAGAGCCACUAUACUAUGUUAGCUAUGCUACCCUAGUGUGAGGUGAUUUAGGUUUUAUAAAUUUUUUUGAUAACACCCAUCUGAGCCAGAAUCAAAUGGCACGACUGAACCAGGGACGAAUCAAAUGACGCCGCUACCAAGGAUGGUGCCAAAGUACAUUGACAUGACUUUUGGUGAACACUUGUGAUCUUCACCACAAGUUUGGUGAUUUUUCUUUUACUAAUUUUUUUUAUUUUAGCUUAUCUUUUAUUUAGUUUUUAGUUAACCUUAAAUUUUUCCUAGAAUUGUAUUUCUUUUGUUUUCUUUGUUUUUGUUUCAGUGAUCUUUAGUUGUGCAUGCCCUAUUGGAUAAGAGAUAUUGAGGGAAUACUUGUGAAGAUUGAAACUCCUCGAGAAACUGAGUUAGAAGUGUGCUUGAACAUCAUGGAUGUUCCACCUGAAGACCAGAAUAGCCAACAUGGUUAAGAGGAUAAUUUCAACACAUACCGAUCCAUGAGGAACCGCAUACAUCCACCUUGUAUGAGUGCACCGUCAGGCAUAAUGCCUCCCACUGAGCAGCUAGUAAUCUGACCUCACAUUGUGCCACUCCUACCUACUUUCCAUGGGAUGGAGAGUGAGAAUCCCUACUCGCAUAUUAAGGAAUUCGAGGAGGUUUGUAAUACAUUCCAAGAAGGAGGAGCUUCAAUUGACUUGAUGAGGCUCAAGCUAUUUCCUUUCACUUUGAAGGAUAAGGCCAAGAUUUGGCUUAAUUCUUUAAGGCCAAGAAGUAUCCAAACUUGGAUUGAUUUGUAAGCCGAGUUUCUUAAGAAGUUCUUCCCUACCCAUAGGACCAAUGGUUUGAAAAGGCAAAAUUUGAACUUCUCAGUUAAAGAGAAUGAGAAAUUCUAUGAGUGUUGGGAGAGCUACAUGGAAGCUAUUAACGUUUGUCCUCACCAUGGCUUUGACACAUGGCUCUUAGUGAGCUAUUUUUACAAUGGUAUGUCUUCUUCAAUGAAGCAACUCCUAGAAACUAUGUGUGGAGGAGACUUCAUGAGUAAGAAUCCGGAGGAAGCCAUGGACUUUUUGAGUUAUGUGGCUGAAGUUUCAAGAGGAUGGGAUGAACCAAAUGCUAGAGAGGUGGGAAGAAUGAAGUCUCAACCUAAUGCUAAGGGUGAGAUGUAUGUUUUGAAUGAAGACAUUGACAUGAAAGCAAAGGUUGCAGCUAUGGCAAGGAGAUUGGAAGAGCUAGAAAUGAAGAACAUACAAAAAGUGCAAGCCAUUUCUGAGACAUCAAUGAAAGCUAUGCCUUGUUCCAUUUGUCAAUCUUAUAAGCACCUAGUGGAGGAGUGUCCUACAAUUCCAGCAGUGAGAGAGAUGUUUGGUGAUCAAGCAAAUGUUAUUGAUCAAUUCAAGCCUAAUAACAAUGCUUCAUAUGGCAACACCUACAAUUCAAAUUGGAGGAACCAUUCAAAUUUCUCUUGGAAACGAAAGCCACCUCAAUACACACAACCUACUCAAGCACCUUAGCAAUCCUCGAAUCUUGAACAAGCUAUUGUGAACCUUAGCAAGGUUGUGGGAGACUUUGUGGGAGAUCAGAAGUCCAUCAAUGCUCAACUGAAUCGGAGAAUUGACAGUGUGGAGAGUACAUUGAACAAAAGGAUGGAUGAGAUGUAAAAUGAUCUGUCUCAAAAGAUAGACAAUGUCCAAUACGUAAUCUCAAGGCUUACCAACCUCAACACAGUGUAAGAGAAAGGAAAGUUUCCUUCUCAACCUCAUCAAAAUCCUAAGGGUAUCCAUGAAGUAGAGGCUCAAGAGGGAGAAUCUUCAAAGGUGAGGGAAGUCAAAGUAGUUAUCACCUUGAAGAGUGGUAAAGAGGUUGAUCAACCCACAUCCAAGCCAAAGCAUAAUGAAGAGAGUGUAGCAGAAAAAGAAAAGAGAGGAAAAUAAAGGAAUUAGAAUAGAGAAAAAUACAAAGAAAGAUGACCAUGAGUCUAGUGUGGAUGAAGAGCCCGAGAGGAUGGUGAUCAAGGAAGAUAUGAUGAAGAAACACAUGCCUCCACCUUUCCCCUAAGCUUUGCAUGACAAAAAAAGAACCAAUAAUACAUCAGAAAAUUUUGAAGUAUUGAGGCAAGUGAAGGUCAAUAUCCCUUUGCUAGACAUGAUCAAACAAGUGUCGACAUAUGAAAAAUUCUUGAAGGACUUGUGCACUGUAAAGAGAGGGUUGAAUGUGAACAAGAAAGCUUUAUUGACCGAGCAAGUGAGUUCCAUCAUACAGUGCAAGUCCUAGUGAAGUACAAAGAUCCGGGUUGCCGUACCAUCUCAGUGAGUAUUGGAAGGACUUGUGUGGAGAAAGCUUUGUUGGACUUGGGAGCAAGUGUGAAUUUGCUAUCCUACUCUGUCUAUAAGCAGUUGGGAUUUGGAGAGUUGAAGCCAAUAUCCAUCACUCUAUCUCUAGCGGAUAGAUCAAUGAAGAUUCCAAGAGGGAUGAUCGAAGAUGUCCUGGUUCAAGUUAACAAAUUCUACUAUCCAGUAGAUUUUGUUGUUCUUGAUAUGGAUCCGGUUGUCAAAUGAACUAAUUAUGUUCCUAUCAUACUUGGAAGACCCUUCCUAGCUACAUCAAAUGCAAUCAUCAAUUGUAGGAAUGGAGUCAUGCAACUCACAUUUGUCAACAUGACAUUAGAGCUCAACAUCUUCCAUUUGUACAAGAAGCAUAUCCAUCAGGAGGAAAAAGAAGGUCUAGAGGAAGUGUGAAUGAUUGACACUUUAGUGGAAGAGCAUUGUGAUCGAGAAUGCAAAAAGAUUUAGUUGAGAAUUUUGGGGAUCUUGAUGAAAGGUUACUUGAACCCUCAGAUUUGCUUGCUACCCUACUCCAUUGGAAGAGAAGAGAAGAAAUUCUACCCUUAUUCAAUGAGGAGGAGACGCAAAGAGCUGCAAAGGAGAAACCCCCAAAACUUAUUCUUAAGCCACUACCCACAGAGUUGAAGUAUGUAUACUUGGAAGAAGACAAGAAGUGCCCUAUUGUUAUAUCUUCAACUCUUACCAUUCAUCAGGAGGAUUGUCUACUUGAAGUCCUUAGAAGAUGUAAGAAGACAAUAAGGUGGCUAAUUUCUUAUUUGAAAGGGAUCAGCCCUUUAGUCUGCACCCAUCAUAUUUACAUGGAGGAUGAAGCUAAGCUAAUUCAUCAACCUCAGAGAAGGUUGAACCCUCACAUGCAAGAGGUGGUUCGAGCUGAAGUUCUGAAGCUACUUCAGACCAGUAUUAUUUACCCCAUAUCAAAUAGCCCAUGGGUGAGUCCUACUCAAGUUGCGCCAAAGAAGUCUGGGAUCAUGGUGGUGCAAAAUGAUAAGGGAGAAGAUGUCUCUACACGCCUCACUACAGGUUGGAGGGUGUGUAUCAAUUACAGGAGGUUGAAUGCAGUGAUAAGAAAGGACCAUUUCUCAUUGCCCUUUAUUGAUCAGGUGCUUGAGAGGGUCUCUGGGCUUUUUUUUUUAUUGUUUCUUGGAUGGCUACUCCGGGUACUUUCAGAUAGAAAUUGAUGUUGAAAACCAAGAUAAGACCAUUUUCACAUGCCCAUUUGGAACCUAUGCAUAAAGGAGAAUGCCUUUCGGCUUAUGCAAUGCACCCGCAACUUUCCAAAGAUGCAUGUUAAGCAUUUUCAGUGAUAUGGUGGAGCGUAUUAUGGAAGUCUUUAUGGAUGAUAUCACCAUUUAUGGAAGUGCAUUUGAUGAAUGCUUGGUCAACUUAGAAGCUGUUCUGAACCGAUACAUUGAGAAAGACUUAGUGCUUAACUGGGAGAAGUGCCAUUUCAUGGUACACCAAGGGAUUGUCCUUGGGCACAUUAUCUCCAAGCAAGGCAUUGAAGUUGACAAAGCAAAGGUUGAACUCAUUGUUAAGUUGCCAUCCUCAACAAAUGUCAAAGGAGUAAGGCAAUUCUUUGGCCAUGUCGGGUUCUAUAGGAGGUUUAUCAAGGAUUUCUCUAAGCUUGCAAGGCCUCUUUGUGAAAUAUUGGUGAAUGAUGUUAAAUUCAUAUGGGAUGAUGGAUUUGAAAGGAGUUUUGAAGAAUUGAAGCUAUUUUUGACAACCGUACCAAUAGUGAGGGCUCCCAACUGGCAACUGCCCUUUGAAGUAAUGUGUGAUGUCAAUGAUUUUGCUAUAGGAUUUUUUCUUGGGCAAAGAGAAAAUGGAAAACCUUAUGUGAUCUACUAUGCGAGGAAGGCAUUGAAUGAGGCACAAAGAAACUACACAACCACCGAGAAAGAAUUGUUAGCUGUAGUUUUUGCCUUGGAUAAGUUUCGCGCUUACUUGGUGGGGUCCUUCAUCAUGGUUUUUACUGAUCACUUUGCUUUGAAGUAUCUGUUGACUAAGCAAGAUGCUAAAGCAAGGCUGAUUAGAUGGAUUCUCUUACUUCAAGAGUUCAAUCUCCAUAUCAAAGAUAAGAAAGGAGUGGAGAAUGUGGUAGCAGACCACAUUUCAAGGCUAGCUAUCGCACAUAAUUCCCAUGCUUUGCCCAUUAAUGACGAUUUUCUAGAGGGGUCUCUCAUGUUGGUGGAAGUUGUCCCUUGGUACGCUCACAUUGCUAACUACCUGGUCACGGGAAAAGUUCCAAGUGAGUGGAAAGCACAAGAUAAGAAGCACUUCUUUGCAAAAAUUCAUGCCUACUAUUGGGAAGAGCCAUUUCUAUUCAAGUAUUGUAUGGAUCAGAUAAUAAGGAAGUGCGUUCCUGAAGAAGAGCAACAGGGGAUCCUUAGUCAUUACCAUGAAAAUGCAUGUGGAGGCCACUUUGCUUAUCAAAAGACAGCCAUGAGGGUGUUGCAAUCGGGUUUCUGUUGGCCAUCACUUUUCAAAGAUGCCCACACCAUGUGCAAGAGUUGUGAUCGAUGCCAGAGGCUUGGGAAGUUGACACGCAGGAACAUGAUGCCUUUGAACCCCACUUUAAUAGUUGAUAUUUUUUAUGUUUGGGGCACUAACUUCAUGGGACCUUUCCCUAUGUCUUUUGGCUACUCUUACAUCUUGGUAGGAGUAGAUUAUGUUUCUAAGUGGGUUGAGGCAGUCCCAUGCAAACACAAUGACCAUAGAGUGGUUCUCAAGUUUCUUAAAGAGAAUAUCUUCUCAAGAUUUGGGGUGCCCAAAGCCAUAAUUAGUGAUGGGGGUACUCAUUUUUGCAACAAGCCUUUUGAAACUCUCCUAGCCAAGUAUGGGGUGAAGCAUAAGGUAGCUACACCUUACCACCCUCAAACUCAUGGACAAGUUGAGUUAGCAAACAGGGAGAUUAAAAACAUAUUGAUGAAGGUGGUGAACACAAACAGAAAAGAUUGGUCAGUCAAGCUUCUUAAUUCACUAUGGGCAUAUAGAACAACUUACAAGACCAUUCUCGGGAUGUCUCCUUAUCGCCUAGUUUAUGGCAAAGCAUGCCAUCUCCCUGUGGAAUUGGAAUACAAAGCUUGGUGGGCAAUCAAGAAGCUCAACAUGGAUUUGAGCAGAGCUGGGUUGAAGAGGUUCUUAGACCUUAAUGAGAUGGAGAAAUUGAGAAAUGAUGCCUACAUCAAUUCAAAAAUUGCAAAAGAAAAAUUGAAGAGGUGGCAUGAUCAGUUGAUUUCCCGCAAGGAUUUUCAAAAUGGACAAAGAGUCUUACUUUAUGACUCUAAACUCCACAUCUUUCCGGGCAAGCUGAAAUCAAGGUGGAUAGGUCAUUUUACCAUUCACCAAGUGCAUUCAAAUGGAGUAGUGGAACUACUCAACUCCAACAAUAUCGAGAACUUCAAAGUGAAUGGCCACCGUCUCAAGCCCUUUGUGGAGUCUUUUUCUCACAACAAGGAGAAAUUCAUCCUCCUUGAUCCACAUCAAGCUUAACAAGACCAAUUUUCUUGAUGGACUUAGUCUUUCUAAAGACUAUCGAGUCCAUAACUUUUUGUUUUAUUUUUUAUUUGAGAUUUUUUCGGUAUUGUUACUUGUUUUGUUUUUUAUUUUUCGUUUUAAUUUUAUUUGGUUUGAUUUAACUUAGGUUUUUGAUGAUCAAUUACAGGGGGGAUUUCAAAUAGAGGAAAAACCAAGAUAAUUCGCACACCCUACGAAAAUUUCGCAAGGCAUGCGAAAUUUAUGGCUUAUUUUGCAUGGGGUGAAAAUUUUCGUACAUCUUACGAACCAAUUUCGAACACUUUGCGAAAAUAAACCAACCCUGCGAAAUCAUUUCGAUUACUCUACGAAAUUUUCGUAGAGCAUGCGAAAAAUUUAGCACACCAAACACCAUUUCGCAUACUAUGCAAAAACCUAAGGGGUCUGCGAAACCAUUUCGCACCUCCAAAUCCAUUUCGCACAUUGUGCGAAAACCAAGAGGCGCUGUGCGAAAAUGAAAAGUCGCCCUGUCAUCCCUUUUUAAACCCCUCGAGCCCUAAAAUCUCCAUUUCGCAAGCACCCCUGUCCUUGCGAAUCCCUCAUUUUCCUCUACUACCUUGCAACCUCGUCCCUUUCCAUUUGAUAUUGUGCCCCGCGCACAUCUCAUUUCAGAGACUCGCACUCCGCGCCCCCUCAAAGCAUGGACUCGAGACCCACCUUCCAUUUCCGACGUGGCACGGACCCAAGGAGCCCUUUCUGCCCCUUCACUAAGACACACACCAAGGCAGAAAGCCUCCUUUGCUCAAGUGCCUAGUGAUUCUCCAUCUUAGGCCUCAGAGGCCUCGGAGGCCCCGUGGAUUCCACCUUCCGAGGGUAGAGCAGCCAUUGGUCCUUCCUCUUCUACUCCUUAGCGUAGAUACGAGACGAGGAGACCACCUACUACACAAGGGGCGACUACUUCGAGCCUUGAGAAUUCAGUACGAUGCCUUCCUGCCAAGAGGGUCAAGACUUCAGGUCCAAGUGAGUCAUCCAGAGCUUCAUAGCCUAAGCCUCCUGUAGAUUCCAAGGUUCCUACUGACAUAUCACCGGAGUCUAUUAUCAGAAGCCCGAUGCUCAUAGCACCGCCCAUUGAGGGCAACUCAGAUUAUAGAGCGAGAUCUUUCCACUUGGAGCUAUAUUUUGAUCAGGAGGCCAUACGACAGCAGCCUGAGCUCCGAGACUCUUAUGGCUUACUGCAGAGGUACCAUCUUGAGGAACUUAUGACUCCUCGUGAGUUUUUUUAUCCCAGAGUAGCACUAAACUUUUACCAGUCCAUGACUACUCGUGGCGUCCCGAGUCCUACCACGAUUCACUUCACCAUUGAUAGACGUCAUGGUAUCCUCAAGGCCAGACAUAUUACAGAGGCUCUACAAAUUCCUUUCGAGCUAGAGGAUCCAUCUGUUUUUCGCUAAUGGUCCCCAGUAUCUCAGAGGGACAUGGUCCGUAUUUUAUCUAGGGGAACAUCUACAGAUUCGAUCUUUCUACGGAAGGAGCUUCGACCUGGGAUGCUCCUCUUAGAUGUGGUGCUAUGCUCCAACCUCUUUCCCUUACAACAUUCGGUACAUAGGUGAUGAGCUAUUUUGGACGCUUUAUUCCGUAUAUCAGAGGGCUUCUACUUUGGCCCGCACCACUUGAUCAUGGUCUCCCUCAUCCACUUUGAGGAGAAGGUUCAUAGGAAGAAGCUUCAGAGGGUGGACACCAUUCCAUUACUAUUCCUGAGGUUACUUUGCCAGGUCUUGGAGUACAUGGGCUUUCCUACUGAGCCUCGGCUCGAGCUUUGCCGCCUUUGUCGAGAGUGAUCCACUCUCGACAAAUGGAAUUAGUUGGCGGGCUAUUCUGCACCUCCAGGAGCCCCUCCCAUGGUAGCACCUCCAAUGUCCCCACAGGCAAAGUAGGGCGAGCUCCCGGCAAAGACUGUACCACCAAUGCCCACACUUGAGGCUAUUUCUGCUGCUCUGCCUAUGACUCCUACUGUUCCACCAGUUGGUCCUUUUACAUCCGAGCCUUCCAUCACCAUCUCGGCUUCGGAGUUUCGCGCCCUUGUGCAUACCUUUCAGACACUCACCACCACACAUACUCCUCUCUUCUAGCAAAUGGUUGAGAUGUGUGCCCAUCAGGACCGGAAGACUACUAUACUCUGCCAAAUUCAGCAGCACCUAAGACUUUUGCCUCAACCUCAACCUAACCAUCCCAUAUCAUCAGAGCCUCUAGCUCCAACUGAGGAUACUAUUCCACCUGAGAACACUACCACAGUAGAGGUCCGGUUUCCACCACCUUAAGAGGCCACCACAGCUACAUCAGAGGAUGUGUCAUCUCCACUUGAGGCUCCCACUACUUGAUCAUAGGACAUAUCUUUAUCUUAUUGUAUUUACAUAUUAUAUUACUAGAGAUUUGUCCUUGUUUUGAUACUUUAUAUUCUGGGAUUGGAUGUAUUGCCUGAUGAUAUCUCAAUUGUACUUUCUCAUAUUAAUAUAUAGACAUCAAUUUUUUUUAGUAUACUUAGCAUUUUUCUAUUUCCUCUACUCAUUACUCUUUUGUUUUUUUUUACUCAUGUGGUUUCUCUUAUACAACUCAGACUCCAUUUCACUCAGGAGGUACCACUUCCUCCCUUUAUUUUCAAUUGCUCUUGAAAUAUUGAGUGCAAUGUUGAUCUUGGUUGGGGGGAGAGUUGAGGAAGGAAGUUUUGUUAAUAAUGCUAGGUUAAUUUGUUAAUUUAGUUACUUUCUGCUUAAUUUUAAAAGUUUUCACUCUACUUUCCAUGGUUAUUAAGGAAAAAUUCUCAAAAUGAAAUGGGAGAAAUCGAAUUCUUGCAUUUUUACUUGAAUCUUAGAAUUUGUAUCAUGCUUAUUAAAGUUGAUGAAUUAUUGAAACUCCUAUUGAAUUCAACCUUAUUUUUUCCACUUUAAUCUUACCACACACGGUGCACAUUAGGUUCCAGUUAUAAGAUAAAAAACUAUCUCACCCCCUAAACUUAGAAAAAUUUACACUUGGUACCUUUGACAUCGUUUUAAUAGUGUUGGGACACCUUAUAAAAGGCCAAUGAGCCUUUAAAAAAAAAAAAAAAAAAAAAAAGAGAAAGAACAAAGUAUUGCACUUGCCUUGAAACCUGAGCAAGAUCCGAGGGGUAUACAGUGAAAGUCUUUAAAACCUGGUGCCCUAAGCCUUGAUUGGUUGGGAGUCACCGACCUCAAUGCUCGUUAUAAGGGUGAAUAGGUGGAGUUUAACAUAUUGUAGGUGCUUGGGUAUUGAAUUUCAAUCUCAAAAGUCCGGGAAAAAAUCUAAGGAGUUAGUGGUCAAAAGAUCCUUAAAGCUUGAUGCCCUAAACCUUGAUUGGUUGAGAGUCAUUGAUGGAUCCCCGCUACAUGGACAUUUUAGAAAACAAUACCUUUAGCAUUGCACGCCUACAAUGAAAAAAAAAUGUGAAAUAAAAGAGGUGCGUUCUUAGCCUAUUGGAGGUUGGUCAGUUUGCUAAAGUUUGAGAAAUCUAGGUUGGGGGGAGAGAAUAGUCCGACAUACUAUAAUAAAAAACUAAUAACCUUAACACUUAGAUUUUUGUGGAAGAGUAAGGAUUGGACCUUUAGGGGUGGAAAUUCUUUUGAUGCUUAAAUUUGCAUAAUGCCUACUCUUUAUAAAUUAUGAUUAGGCAAGAGAUUUGAUGACUCUUGUUCAAAGUUGGGUUUUUCCUCUUUGAUGUUCCAUGAGAGAGUAUAAUCCUCAUCAUGCCACUUGAAAUCUUUUUGGAGUGAUUAACAUGAUUUUGUAAAUUAUUUUACUGUCUAUUUUUCUUUAUCUCUCUUUUAUUGCUAAUGGACUAGCAAUAUGUCAGUUGGGGGGAGUGAUUACUACUCAAAAAGUACUCUUUUAUAGCUUGAAACUAACUGUUUUAAACACUUUUGAGUAGGUGUUAAUACAUUUUAACUCAAUUGGCACAUUAAGGAACCUAACAAGGGUUACUAAUAAGUUUUUGGCAAGUUUUGGUGUUUUUGGUAGCUAUUUGAUCAUUGAAACAAGCCAAGAAUGAGGGAGAAUUUUGUGAAGUCCAUAGCAAUGCAAGUUAAAGCUCAAAUACAUGAAGAAUCCAAGCUUUGAAGCACUUCAUAGCCCUUUGCGAAGCCAAUCAGAGAUGCAAGGAAGAAAACCAGAGGAAAAAAUCCAACAACCAGCAUUUUCGCAUGGCUGUGCGAAAUUUUGCACACCAUGCGAAACCACAAGAAGUAGCCAAAGAAUUUUGCACACCAUGCGAAAUUUCGCAUGGUAUACGAAAUCUUCCUAUGCACCAACUCCGUUAUAUUUUUAUCUUCAGAUAUUUUGUGUAAUUUCCUAGUUUCUCCUUGUAACCAACCUAGAUAUUUUCUUUUAUAUCUUUUUUUUAUAUUUUUUAGGUAACAUCAUAUAUAGGGGGAGAGACAUAAGGAGGAUAUGGAUGUUUUUCAUAAAACACUUUUAAUUUUCUGGUAGUAAGAAAUAUACAAAGUUUUUUGCUCUGCCUUACCUUCUCAUUUUGUUUUCACCUAUCUUUCUAGCCAAACAACCUCUGAGAAUGAUUUCUCAGGGGAUGAGUAGUUAGGUUUUACGUUUCUUGGAGUGAGAGAAGCUAGGUGAAAGACCCAAAUGCUAAGGUGGGAGUUGUCCUUGCUUUAAAUGAAAGUAGUUGUUAAAUAUUAAUGGUUUUUAUUUUAAGGUUUAGCUUUAAAUCCCUUAAAAACACCUUGAAUGGCCAAUACUUGGUAAGCUUUUCGGAUUCUAUGGAUGCUUAUUGCUAGAUCCAUGGAUGUCAUUAGUUAUCAUUUAUGAGCCAUUGGAAGGUGGUUCAAGAUGAGAGUCUUUAGUGUUUGAAGCCAUUAAUGGGAAACAAUUACCAUUUUUUCAUGAAUCCUUUGGAUAAAAUCUUAAUUGCUAAAUAUAAAACUGGUUCGGGAGAUAACCAUCCUUUAUGUUAUUAUGCCCAAUGCAAGGAGAAGAUUUCGAAUCUUCUCAUUUGUCUAAGGAACCCGAUCCUAGUGACCUAAAGCUCCUAGAGACCUUUUCUUUGUAGUUAACUUCAUUUAUUGUUUUUGCUUAACUUAAAAUCAAUCUUUGCAACCACAAUUCCAUUUUCUUUAAAAGCUAAUUUUUAUAAGGAAAAGCACCAUUUUAUUUCCUUCACUAAGUCAACUGUAUGAUGAAAACCCAUCCCUGUGGACGAUCUUAGAGCCACUAUACUAUGUUAUCUAUGCUAUCCUAGUGUGAGGUGAUUUAGGUUUUAUAAAUUUUGUUGAUAACACCCGUCUGAGCCAGAAUCAAAUGGAACCACUGAACCAGGGACAAAUCAACAGCCUAUAUGGGAGGGACACAAGUUUAAUUGAUUUGCAUUUCAGCGUUAUAGAUAAGUAUGUUUUGGAAGAUUUGUUCUGGAAAUACUGCACCAAGUACGAUUCUUUUUCUCUUGAGUGAGUCCAUUUGCAUGCCAAUUAACGAGUUGAAAAGUAGGAGCACCUACCUCGUGCUCAUGGAACCGAAUGUCAGUGAAGUGGGGCUCCUUUUAGCCUCUUGUGUUUCUGUUCCAACCAAGGCGGCGUAGGGAAAAACAACAAUAUGUCUGUGCUAAAUAUCAACGCAUGAUAGAUGUUUUUUUUUUUUUUUUUGGUAUGUCAAGGCUAACGAAUGAAAUGCAUUAGCUUGUUUUGUGACUAUAACUGCAAAUGUCCAAAUUGGAGUAUCUCCAUUUCUCACUUCGGAUGGUUAACUUUAUAAACAAGAUAUAGGAAACAUGUGAACAUCUUGAGGAACAAUUCAAAUUAUUCAUUAGAAGUCCUGGGUUAAGUUCCAAGAUUUAAAUCAGACCCUUCUAGCAGCUUCAAGGGUACUUAGCAACCUAUAACAUAUUAAUGAAGAUUUAGGAUUUAGACUCCGGAAUACAAAUAAAUAUGUAUCUCAUGCUUUGACUAGCUUCCCUACAUAUGCAUAAAAUGGAGAUGACCCAAAAAAAAUAGCAGAAUCUAGCUUCCCUACAUAUGCACAAAAUGGAGAUGACCCAAAAAAUAGCAUAAUCGCCUUAGUUUCUGUGGUUAAGGUGAUUCUCCGCUUAAUAUCCACAUUGACUCAUUAUGCAAAAUCAACUGAGCUAAUUUUAUUUAUUUAUUUAAUGUCAAAUAGGAACUCCUAAUUAACUGAUUACUGUCGAAAAGUGCUAUUUUGUAGACCUAAUUAUAAGGGUUUUAAGCACCUUUGAGUAGUAAUCAUAUUCAUUUAACCUAAUUAAUUCAUUAAGCUCCUUAGUAAUUAGUUCUAACCAUUUUUAGUGGCAAGUUUACAUGUUUUUCAUCAGCUUAUGAACCAAUUCAAGCAUGCCAAUUGAUGGAGGAGCUACUUGGGCGAGUUAAGCAAGGAUUUUGGACGUUUACAGGCUUGAAUUUCAAGUGGAAACACGAGCACAAGCAAUGGGAACACCAUUUCGCAAGGGGAGGCAAUUCACCUUGCCAAAUGACCAAUUUCGCAAGGGGAUUUUCCUCAUGGUGCAAAAUUUGGUCAUUUCGCACCAUGAAGAAACCACCUUGCAAAAUUUCGCAAGGUGGAUUUAGGCACCUUGCGAAAUGCCAAAUUUCACAAGGUGGCUUUUCACCUUGCGAAAUUUGGACCUUUCAUCUUCCCCCCUUGCGAAAUGCCUUUGAAAUCCCCUGUUUUGAGACGCUGUUGAUGAUAUUCCACUGCCGGUUCUCCAAGAUAUUUUGCUUGACUUUUAGCUUUAUAAAUACCUAUUUUACCCUUGUAAUCAACCAAUGAAAAGGUUGCUUUUGUAAUAGCUCUUGUAAUUUAGCUUUUUAUUGUCUUUAAAUAGAGGUGAAGAGCCUCAGACACGAUCAUCUUGUAACCUGUAACUUUAUAAGUUAUAAGAGCACUUUUGUUCAUACGCUUCUUUUCUCUUUUCUUUCUCAUUUUCUUAGUAGCCAAACAUCCUUGGAGGAUGAAAUCCCCAAGGAUGAGAGGCUAAAACCUUUUAGUUUCUUGAAGUAAUGGAUGCCAUGUGAAGCUCCCGUGUCAGGAUGGAGAUUUCCAAGCCAUAAAUGUAAGUAGCUGAGCGUCAUAAAUGUUUUCAUUCAAAGUAAAGCUUUUAAUCCCUCUGACUUGCUUUGAAUGGCCAAUACUUGAUAACCUUUUGGUCUCAAUGGAUUCUUAUUGUUAGAUCCACUGACGUUCAUUAGUUAUCUCCUACGAGCCAUUGUAUUGCAAGUCGAGGAGAUGACCUAUACCAAUAAAAGAGCAUUUAUGAGGUUCAACUACCCUUUUUGUAAGUUUUCAAGGACUAAAACUCAGUUGUUAAACUCAUACCGGUUCGAGAAGUAAGCAUCACCUUAGUUGCUUCCCCAACUCGAGGUGAAAAGUCCCAAAAUCUCCAUUUUUACACAGUGAGUUAAGCAUGGCUAUCCAAAGCUUUAAGAAACUUCUUUUUCCAUCUUUUAACCUAUUUUCAUGUUAGUUUAGUUUACAACACCUUCAUCUUUUUAUGUUUUCAUCUUAACCUAAUUUUUAUUAAGAAAAGUUCACUCCAUCCUCCGAACUUCACCAGUUAAAGUAAAAACCCUUCCCAGUGUUCGAUCCUAGAGCCACUAUGCUAUAGUAGCUUUGCUACUUUAGUGUAAGGACCUUAGGUAUAAAUUUUGUUGAUACCCUUACAUGCCAAGCUACCAAGAGUCGGGUUAUCAUUAACCUAACCAUUGGCCUGUGUAAAUUGAUUUCACAUGCACAAUGUUGUAGUAGAAGUCCAUAUUUUGAAUUUUAUUUUUGUAAAGGUAAGGAAAAUGAAGCAUUGUGUAAUUAUAAAAAUAACUUCAUUGGAAUUCACAAGGUUCACCCAAAAUGGAGCUACAUCUGUAUUCUAUCCUACAGUAGACUAUAUAGAUUGUACAAUAGUAAAUUGCAAAUACAAUUAAUAAGUCUUGUGCUUCCUUACUAAUAAUCCUUUGACAUGAACAUUGCAGCACUAAGGUCCUCUUGGGAAGACACCUUGCACCCAUGAGAGCACUAAGAGGAAGCAAGGCAGAGUCAUGGGUGCAAUGUCAUGACUUGUUGUUGCACCAAGAGAGGCUUGGUGAUGCCAUGGUGUUGCAGUAGCAAGAAUGUUGCCUUGGCAGGGACACGAUCUAGGGAUAGAUGCCAAGAAAGGCUUAGCACUCACAUGAGUUGCACAAAGAUGAAUGUAAUAGAGCAUCAGAGAGACGUCUUGGCAAGUAAAUGAAUGGAUCCAAGAGACAACAACAUGAGGAGUUUCAAAUGGAUAAGGAAUGACUCAAAGACAUUUGAAAGCUACAAGUUGGAUUCUAAUUACGAUUGCAAUUUGAGUUUGAGUAGGAGUUUAGAUUUUGAUUGUAAUUGUAGUAUGAGUUGGACUAGGAUUGCUUAUCCUUAGUCAAUAUAGGAGCGGUUCGUGUCACCCUAUGAAAAGAGUUUGAGUAGGGACUAGGAUUGCUUACUCCUAGUCAAAUAUGGAGUAGGUGGUGCCACACCUAUAAAAAAAAGGGACAACAUGAGAGAGAGAGAGAGAGAGAAAGAGAGAGUGAAUUCACUAAAGAUAUUGUGGGAGUUUUGCUUUGUUACGUCUUGUAUUAUUACUUAGAAUAGGAAUAAAAUACAAGUUGGGGCUAGAGCCCCAUAAUUAAUCUCGUGUGCCUUUGUGGUUAUUCUUUAUUUGUCAUCUCGUGUGGAUUGGAUUAGGUUGACUUAGAGGGCUUCUAAGCACCACCUUUGUGGGUUAUUAUUUAUUUUCCAUCUCUUGUGGAUUAGAUUAGGUUGACUUAGAGGGCUUCUGAGCACCACCUUUGUGGGUUAUUAUUUAUUUUCCAUCUAUUGUGGAUUAGAUUAGGUUGACUUAGAGGGCUUUUAAGCACCACAUUUGUGGGUUAUUCUUUAUUUUCCAUAUCGUGUGGGUUGGAUUAGGUUGACAAGGAGAAAAAUUAUGUGGGAAAUUUGUGUUGGGACACUUACCAUAACCAAGUAAAAUCUACCAAGUCCUUUGUAAUAUCUUCAACAAAUAUUUUAGACUAGUUCUUUCAGUUAGUGUAAAGGAGGAAGAAGUGGUAUUGAUUCUAGAAAUAGGGUGUGUGUAUUUGAACUACAAUCCUUAUGAUCCUUAGGUCUCUAAACCUUCGUGAUGGGCUCCCUGACAUUUCAUAGGUUGUGCUACACAUGCGUUUGAAAUUUAGAGUGCGUUUGACAGUGAUUCCGGGAAGUGUUUUUGGCCUUUCUUACACUUGAAAAUUUUUAUUUUUCAAGUAUUAGAAAUGCUACAAACACUUUUGAAAAUUACUGUCAAACACACUCUUAGGAGCGCACAUAUAUAGUAGAAAACUAGAAAUUGUGGUUUUUUUAGGAUUUACUGUAAUGUCAUUAGGAGGGUAGUAAGUUGAAAUUGAGUAUGAACAAAUAUUUCUUUCUUUGGGAUGUUCUUCUAGUAGGUGCUGAUGAAACUGUUCUUUCUACUGCCAAUGUCACAUAUCAGCCAGAAAUUGAAAAUUUCAGUCAAGGUGUCCUCUGUUUUAGUGGUGAGGAAAGCUAGAAAUUUUAAGGUGAAGUUUUGUUAAAAACCUUAAGUAGCUGGGAUAUCAGGCCUGUUUUGCUUGAAAAAAAAAGUUGCAAGAUAACUCAUAUGCCAAACAGGUUCUGAUAUUGUGAAUCUAUCGGCAGACAUCAGUAAUCUCAUCUUCUGAGAUGGAUGUUGGGGGUGCAUGUGGUGGUGGAGGGGCAAGGUUUCAUUUGGUUUAUUUUGUUGAUGGAUAUUGUCUAGCCACCUGCGCCAAGUUUGAGGGGUGGUGGGUUGUGAUGACCCUACAAUUACUAUUAAUUUCUUCAUCUUUUACCGAUUAAAGUGUCCGAACAGUCGAAGUUACCCUUAUGCAUGUCAACUUGAUCACUUACCUCUUCAAUGGAGUUUAUGCUGGUUCAUUUAGGAACUGAUUUUUAUUGUUAUGUAUUAUAUGCUGAUGUUUAGGUCUCUCCAUCAUCACUAUAUACAAAAAUUCUAGGUUGAUACUAUAGGUUGAGAUUUAUUUUUUAAAUAAAAAAUAAUAAAAAUAAAAAUUAUGGUGAUGUUUAGUUGUUUUAUGGAAAAUUUUAACAAGUAAAAGUUAUUUUUGGGCAAGUUUUCAAACAAAAAGAAAAGUAAAAGUUGUUUUGACAAAAACAUAUAGAAAAAAAAAUCAUAGAAAAUAAAUAAUUUCCCCAUAUUCUAACUUUUUUGAAUUUUUCUCAAUGGGCAAAGGAAUAUCAAAUCAAGUUUGAGUAGGAUUUCUUAAUUUUUAAAAUAACUUACAAUUAAAAAAUUUUGGUGUUUUCAUUUUUGGACAAUUUUUUAUUAAGCAAAUGGACUCUGAGUCAUGCAAGAGAUAUGGUUCAUUAACCGGUCGAACAAUUUUUUUAAAUUAAUUUAAAAGUCAAAUACAUAAUCAAUUUCACAAAAUUUAUAAACAAAAAUAGGUUUAGAGAAGAUCUACACAUAAUUUUACUUUUCUAAUUUUAUUUUAUUUUAUUUUUUGUUGGAAAAUAGUCUUCAAAUCAUGUAAGAUUUAAUAGGUUAAAUUUGUUAACAAUAAAUUUUAAAUUAUAAAAUAUAAUCUGGAACUCAAAAAUCAAUUCAAGUAAUGCUAAAAAAAAAUCAAAUUUGGUAUAGAAUGACUUUGUAAAUUUUUUUACAAAACAAAUGAAUUUUAAAUCAAGUGAGAUUUAAUGCAUUAGAUUUUUAUCAAAUAUAGUAAUUUUAAAAAUAAAUUUGGAACUCAACAAUAGACACAAUAAAUACCAAAAAAUAAUGAACCAAAAUUGGUUUGGAAUAACUCCACAACCUUUUUUUUUUUUUUUUGGUGCACACGAAUUUUCUUACUAGGUAUAUUGCUUUCAAAUUGAGAAAGAUUUACCAUUUAGAUUUUUUUUUAAUGAGUUUAAUGGUAUUUUAAAAUAAUUCAAAAUUUAAAAAAUUGACUAAUUAAUAUUAUAAAUUGAUAAACCAAGACUAUUUCAAAAUGCAUUGGGGGCUAAGGGGGUUGAAAAUAGGGACAAUGGGAUGGGUUUGGGACAUGACACUCAUAUCUCAUUUCCAUUCCAAUUACACAGUUAUCUCCCAUCCUUAUCCCAAACUUGUGUUGGAGCAAGUUGAUUUGUUCCCAUCUUUGUUGACGAAAUGACUAAUAACCUCAUCCCCUCCUUAUCUUAGAUGUACAUUUUGUCAAAUUUGAUCAGGUAUGAUUGAUCCAAGCCCUAACCCUAAUUGGUAAUGAGUGAAUACUACACCUAAUUGCAUUCUUCUUUCAUUGCAAAAUAAUGAGAUUAUAAUAAUCUAGCAAAUAAGAAAAAAUAGUAUGGAAGUUCAAAUUAACACCAUAACUAUCAAUAAUUUUAAGCUUAUAGAUGACUUAAAUGAUUAAAAACUAAUGCAAAAUCCUAAAAAAAAUAAAAAUCAUAUAAAGAAUUCACAAGAGAACAGAAUGAACAAAAACCAAAUAUGAACAUGGGUCAACAUUAGUUAUGGAUUUGGAUUCCUUUCAAGGCCAAUCUUUGAACCAAGACUUCAUCAAAUCAACUACUUCAAAGGCUUUUGUGUUCUUCUUGGGUUGUGCUCUCAAACAAAGACUUCGAGGUGAUGUUCUAGAUGAUUGAAUUACACAUAUUUAGGGUGGAGAGAUUGGAGAAGCUUGAAGAUGCCAACGAUGGGUACAAUUGAGUGGUCAAUAAGAACAAUGUAGCCUAUGACUAGUUUGAUGUCAUGGUACAAGAGUUUUAGGCAUUGAGGUUAAAGCAAGAGCAACAUGGAAUUGAUUUCGGAGUCUUUCAGUUAGUGUAAAGGAGGAAGAAGUGGUGUUGAUUCUAGAAAUAGGGUUUUAAGUGGUGCGUGAUUACUACUCAAAAAGUGCUAUUUGAUAGCCUUUAAUUAAUCCUUUUUAACACUUUUGAGUAGUAGUUUAGGCCUUUUAACUCAAUUGGCAUGUUAAGGAUCCUUUAAAGCAAUUUUGAUCACUUUGUGCAAGUUUUGGUGUUUUUGUUAGUAUUUUGAUCACCAAAGCAAGUCAAGAAUGAGGAGAACUAUGAGGAAUCAUGGGCAAAGCUUAGAAUUCAAUUGCCAAGAGUGAAUCCGGAUUGCAAGGAGAAAAAGCAAAGAGAAUCUGUCAUGAAGCCUAUUCUUGAUGACAGUCGUAGCAGCCACUUUUGGAGCACUUUCUGAAGUCCAAAUGAUGCAAGCUAUAUACCAUUUCAAAGAUCAGGAAGUCAACAAUCCAAUGCUUCAAACGGUGCGCGAUUCGGAGUUGAAACGAAGAAGUUGCAGCCAUUACAAGCCAGUCACUCUAAAGUGUUGCGGAAUCAGCCUUUUGUUGCGAGAAUUUCGCAGCACUUUUGUACAGUAAGGUGUUUCUCCUUCUGACGAUGCACGAACCAUGCCGCGAGAGGGAAGCUAGGAACUUCAAGAUGGAAGCCAACUUUGCAGCCUGGUGAAGAUAGCUUGGUCUUGCGAAAUAAUUUCGCAGCCCUCUUGGGUGUCUGCGAAAUUUCGCAGGCACCACUUUUUUCCUGCGAAAUGGCUCCGGAAGCCUCCCGAAGCUUGCUACCGACAUUGGGAGAUAUUUUCCAUUAGAUUUUUGUUGUCUAAAUUCCAAAAUACUCCUUGUAAACCACCAAUUACAUGAUUCCUUAGUUUUUAAGUUAGUAAAAAGACCAAAUAUCUAUGUAAUAAUUAGUUUUAUAUUAGUUUGCUAUAAAUACCUCUCGGGAGCAUGUUCUCAGAGAGGAGUUCCUUCUGUAACCAUUUUGGUAAGCAAGUAAAGUCUUUUCUUUCUACUGCCUUACCUUCUCACUUUGUAUUUUCAUUUUAUUUCUAAGUUAUGAAUUCUCUGAGGAGCUUUCCCCAGAGAAUGAGUAACUAAACCUCCAAUUCCUUGGAGCUAAGGUUGCCGGGGAAGGUUCCAAGUGCAAGAAUGCAAAGCUCUGUGGUUUUAGCUAGUAAUGAAGAGGAAGUGAAAUCCUUUAGUGAUUUCAAUGUUUUUAGUUAACUUAAAACACCUUGGAGUCACCUGGGCCAACACUUGGUAAGGCAAGUGAUUUCCAACCGUGGAAAUGCACUAGUUUACCCCUUGCGAGCCUCUGGUAGGUGACUUCAAGGUAGGAUUUUCUGGAAUUACCAACACUUGGUAAGCUUUUGGACUCCUAGGAGACAUCCAUUAGUUAUCUCUUGCGAGUUUGUGAAGGGGAAUCCAAGGUUAAAGAUCACCUUGAAUGGUAAGUGCUCGUGAGAGGCAUGAACCAUUGCAAGUUGUAUCAGUGAGAGAAUUAAAGUGAAAUCUAAUUGAAGGAGUCUCUGUACAUCACCGGUUAGAGAAUUGACUAUAAGUUGAAUCUCUAAUGCGAGGAAAUGAACCAUCUGACCGGAGCUAUGUCUUUUGCAUGAGGAACCACCCCAGUGAACCUAAAUCUCCAAGGAAUGCUUUUCUUCCUAAAUUAUUCCAAACUUCUGUUAAGUUAGUUAGUUUAAGUCUAAACCUUUACCAAUCAAACUUUGUGUUUUAUUUCUUAAGCUAACCGUGAAAUGAAACAAAACCAAUUCACUUGGAAUUGGUAUCCUUGAUUGCUUGCAAAUCAUUCCCAGUGAACGAUCCUUAGAGCCACUAUACUAUAGUAGCUUUGUAUUUGCUACCCUAGUGUAUGGUGUUAUAGGUAUAAAUUUUGUUGAUCACUUCCUCAAUCAAGGAACACCAGCUGAACACAAAUCAGCUGAGACACCAAUUGGGCAUGAGUCAAAUGGCGCCGUUGCCGGGGAAUGAGUGUCAAGAUCAUUGUGAUACCAUUUUUGAGCACUUGUGAUUUUCAUCACAAGUUGGUAAAGUUUCUUUCACUUUACUAAUUUUCAUUCUCUCUUUGUUUAUUUACAAUCUAAGUUUAUCUUUUUAAAAUUUAGUCUAGUUUAAUUUUGCUAUUGUAGCCUUGUUUCUCUUGUUGUCCUCUGUUCUUGUUGUCCUCUGUUUUCAUUUUAGUUGCAGCUGAAUACUAGUUGUGUAUGCCAAAGUGGAUACGAGACAUUGGAGGUAGGCUUAUUAAGUGUGAUACACCUCAGAGAGGAGAAUUGGAAGUAAUCUUGAAUAUCAUGGAGGCUGCACCUGAAGAUCAGCAUAGUCACCAAGGUCGUCAAGACAAUCUCAAUGAAUUCAGAUCAAUGAGGGACCGUAUGCAUCCACCUCGUAUGAGUGCACCAUCAUGUAUAGUGCCCCCUACAGAGCAACUAGUGAUCAGACCAUAUCUUGUUCCACUUCUACCAACUUUCCAUGGGAUGGAAAGUGAGAAUCCGUAUGCACACAUCAAGGAAUUUGAAGAUGUUUGUAAUACAUUCCAAGAGGGAGGAGCUUCAAUUGAUUUGAUGAGGCUUAAGUUAUUUCCUUUUAAUUUAAAGGAUAAGGCCAAAAUUUGGCUUAAUUCUUUAAGGCCAAGGAGUAUCCGCUCUUGGACUGAUUUACAAGCUGAAUUCCUCAAGAAAUUUUUUCCUACUCAUAGAACAAAUGGCUUGAAAAGGCAAAUUUCAAACUUCUCAGCUAAAGAGAAUGAGAAAUUCUAUGAGUGUUGGGAAAGAUACAUGGAAGCUAUAAAUGCUUGUCCUCACCAUGGCUUUGAUACUUGGCUACUGGUGAGUUAUUUUUAUGAUGGUAUGUCCUCCUCAAUGAAGCAACUCCUCGAGAAAAUGUGUGGAGAAGAUUUCAUGAGCAAAAAUCCAGAGGAAGCUAUGGAUUUCUUGAGCUAUGUAGCUGAUGUUUCAAGGGGAUGGGAUGAACCAACUAAAGGAGAAGUGGGAAAGAUGAAGUCUCAGUUGAAUGCUUACAAUGCAAAGGCUGGGAUGUAUACUUUAAAAGAGGAUGAUGACAUGAAAGCAAAGUUGGCAGCUAUGACAAGAAGAUUGGAGGAGCUGGAGCUGAAAAGAAUGCAUGAAGUGCAAGCUGUUGCUGAAGCACCAGUGCAAGUGAAGUUGUGUCCCAAUUGUCAAUCGUUUGAACAUUUGGUAGAGGAAUGCCCUGCAAUUUCAGCUGAAAGGGAAAUGUAUAGAGAUCAAGCAAAUGUUGUUGGACAAUUCAGGCCCAAUAACAAUGCUCCUUAUGGAAAUACCUACAAUUCAAGUUGGAGGAAUCAUCCAAAUUUUUCAUGGAAGGCCAGAGCAACUCAAUACCAACAGCCGGAUCCACCAUCUCAACAAUCUUCAAGUAUUGAACAAAUAAUAGCUAAUCUCAGCAAGGUAGUGGGAGAUUUUGUGGGAAAGCAAGAAGCCACCAAUGCUCGAGUGGAUCAAAGAAUGGACAGAGUGGAUCAAAGAAUGGACAGAAUGGAGAGUAUGUUGAACAAAAGAAUGGAUGGAAUGCAAAAUGAUAUGAAUCAAAAAUUUGAUAACAUCCAAUAUUCAAUUUCAAGGCUUACAAAUUUGAAUACACUGCAAGAAAAGGGAAGAUUUCCUUCUCAACCUAACCAAAAUCCCAAAGGUGUCCAUGAAGUGGAAAGCCAUGAGGGAGAAUCAUCACAGGUGAAAGAUGUGAAAGCUUUGAUCACUCUAAGGAGUGGUAAGAAAAUUGAGCAGCCAACACCCAAGCCACAUGUUGAGAAAGAAGAAGAGAUGAAGAAAGGGAAGGAAAUGGAAGAUAAAGGCAGUGAGAUCAGUGAAGAAAAGAAGGACUCUGAUGCAACAAUGAAAGUAAUUCCAGAGAAGGAGCUUCUGAAGGAAGAAAUGCUGAAGAAAUCAACUUUUCCACCUUUUCCUCAAGCAUUACAGGGGAAAAAGGGGGUUAGAAAUGCAGCUGAAAUCCUAGAAGUAUUGAGGCAAGUGAAAGUUAAUAUUCCACUGCUGGAUAUGAUCAAACAAGUUCCAACGUAUGCAAAAUUCCUAAAGGACUUGUGUACUAUCAAAAGAGGGUUGACUGUAAACAAGAAAGCCUUCUUGACUGAGCAAGUAAGUGCAAUCUUACAGUGUAAGUCUCCUUUGAAGUACAAAGACCCUGGAAGUCCUACCAUUUCAGUCAUGAUUGGAGGAAAGGUAGUGGAGAAAGCCUUGCUAGACUUGGGAGCAAGUGUGAAUUUGCUUCCAUAUUCUGUCUACAAGCAACUGGGACUUGGAGAGUUGAAGCCAACAGCAAUCACUUUGUCUCUGGCAGAUAGAUCAGUGAAAAUUCCAAGAGGGGUAAUUGAGGAUGUAUUGGUUCAAGUAGAUAAUUUCUACUAUCCUGUAGAUUUUGUUGUUCUUGAUACAGAUCCUACUGUAAAGGAAGCUAAUUUAGUUCCUAUCAUCCUUGGAAGGCCAUUUCUUGCAACUUCAAAUGCAAUCAUCAACUGUAGAAAUGGGCUUAUGCAACUCACUUUUGGUAACAUGACACUGGAUCUAAAUAUUUUCUAUAUGUCUAAAAAGCAAAUCACUCCAGAAGAAGAAGAGGGUCCAGAAGAGCUAUGUAUUAUUGAUACUUUGGUGGAGGAGCACUGCAAUCAACAUAUGCAAGAUAAGUUGAAUGAAAGUUUUGUGGAUAUUGAGGAAGGUUUUUCUGAAUCUCCUAAUGGGCUUGCUACUCUACAAAGUUGGAGAAAGAUAGAAGGAAUUCUACCUUUGUUCAAUGAAGAAGAGGAGGCAGCUGUUGAAAAAGAAAUUCCAAAACUCAAUCUGAAGCCUUUACCUAUGGAGCUGAAAUAUACAUAUCUUGAAGAAAAUAAUCAAUGUCCUGUCGUAAUAUCUUCAUCUCAAACCAAGUCUCAAGUGAAGGAUGCAAGCUUCAAAUGGGAUCCGGGCAAACUGAAUCAGGAAGGGCAAAAAGUUUUGAUGUAUGACACAAGACUCCAUAUCUUUCCUGGGAAGCUCAAGUCAAGGUGGAUUGGUCCAUUUGUUAUUCACCGAGUAUAUUCCAAUGGAGUGGUGGACUUAUUGAAUUCCAAUGGCAAGGACAGCUUUAGAGUCAAUGGAUAUCGUCUUAAGCCGUUCAUGGAGUCAUUCAAAUCAGAAAAGGAGGCAAUCAACCUCCUUGAACCUCAAAAAGCCUAAGUGAAAUGGGUUUGCUGGACGUGGUUUUACCACAGUCCAAAAAUUUUUGUAAAUUUUGUAAAUUUUCAAGUUGUUUCCAUGCUUUUAAUCUUAGUUUUUGAUUUUAAAUCAUGUUUUUAGGUGUGUUUUAAUCGUUUUAUAUGAUCCCAGGCGGAAGAAAUUUCAAGGGGAUUGAAAAGAAAAAAAUCGGGUCGAAAUUGGAGCCGAAACAGAGCAAAAACAGGGGAAAAACAGAGCUCUGCGAAAUUUCGCAGGGUGAAGGAAACUUCUGCGAAAUUGGCAUUUUGCUGCCAAACCAUUCCGCAGCACUGUAGAAGCCUCUGCGAGUGUAUUUCGCAAUUGCGAAAGUGGAUUUGGCACACGAGUGCCACUUCGCAGCACAGUGACAUCAAUUUCGCAGCUGCGAAACUCACUGCGAAGUUGCUGCGAAAAUGGCAAGUUGCUGCGAAAUUGGCGUUUUGUUGCGAAACGUAAUCUGACCCCUGGGCUUCCGUUUUUCCUAUUUAUACCUGUCAAAAGUGCUGCGAAAAAGGUUUCAAAAAUUAGAGCACCAUUCUCGCAGCCCUUUCAUCUUCUUCGCCAAGCCACGCCGUCCGUUUCUCCGGUCGUCUUCUCCGUUUAGCAGCGCCGGCCAAAGAUCGAUAGCCCAAAAAUGGCACGAACGCGAGGGGCAAAGUCUUCAUCCCCUUCGAACCGCAAAAGGAGUCUGCGAAAGGAGCCAAGUUCAGGCUCUGUUCCAGAACCUGCUCCAAAGCCUUCGCCGUCGAGACCACAACCUUCUCCAGUGAAGCCGGCGCCACCAAAGCCGCCGGCAAGGCGAUAUUUAACCAGGUCAGGUGGUCAGCCAUUGAAGAAGAAAGCCAGAGUUGAGAGCUCUGAACCAAUCGAUUUGACUGAGCAAUCCCCUGAGAAAUCACCAAAUCCUUCACCGGUACAAAUUCCAGUGCCAUCACCGGUUCCCUCGCCAAUUCCCUCACCAGAAGCAACUCCAAUUCCAUCGCCGGUACCAUCUCCGGCACCCCAAGAAAAAGCUCAGGAGCCUCAAGCGCCAAUUCCAGAGCCCCAAAUUGCAGCUGAAGCACCUCUGGAAGAAGUGAUCCGAAGGCCAAUGCUGCCUCAGCCCCCAAUCGAAGGAAACCUGGAUUGCCGAACUCGGGCAUUCCAUUCUGAGCUUUGCUUCGAUUUAACAGCAUUCAGAGUGAGGCCAGAGCUUGCCCAAUCCUUCCAACUGCUGAGGAGAUAUCAUAUGGAGCAUCUGCUAGCUCCAAGGGAUUUUUUCUAUCCCCGGGUAGUCACGGAUUUCUACCAAACCAUGACAACCAAAGAAGUAAGAAAUCCAACUCUGAUUCAUUUCAUAAUUGAUGGAAGGCAUGGUAUUUUGGGAGCAAGACAUAUUGCUGAAGCCCUGCAAAUUCCUUUUGAGCCAACUCAAUUCGACAAUUUUAAAGCUUGGACAAAUCCUACUGAGUUAGAGAUGGUUAGCACACUAACCAGAGGAGCUGCAAAUCGAUCGCAUUUGUUGAGGGGGGAGCUACCUCCAGUUAUGUUUUUGAUUGAUGCCUUUUUGAGGCAUAAUAUCUAUCCCCUGCAGCAUUGGACCCAAAGAAGGGGAAUUCUCCUAGAAGCCUUGUACAAAAUGUCUGAAGGAUUCUUCUUUGGGCCUCAUCAUCUGAUCAUGGCAGCCCUUCUAUACUUUGAGGAGAAGGUUCACAAGAAGAAGCUUCAAAGAGCAGAUUGCAUUCCACUCCUCUUCCCAAGGCUGCUAUGCCAAGUUUUGGAGCAUCUCGGAUACCCCUCUGAGCCUCAGCAGGAAAGAAAGAGAAUAUGCCGUGAGCCUUUUACCCUUGAUAAAUGGAAUAAUAUGACGGCCUACAAAAUUGAUCAGCCUGGGCAGCCUCAGCCAGCAGCAAGGAGAGUCUCCCCAAGACAUAUACCUGAAGGUAUAACACUUGCUACUCCUGCCAUCCCUCGAGCUCCACCAGCUGCACCUGCUCCAUCACAGCCAUCCACAUCAGCUGAGCCGAGGAUGGCCAUCCCUAUAUCCGAAUAUCGAGAGCUGUGCCGUGCAUUGGAGACUCUUACAGCUUCUCAGAGCAAUCUUGCUCAGGAGUUGGCAGCCAUUAAAGCAUGCCAGGAGCAGAUGUUAGCCUCUCAGACUCAACAAGCUGCCAUCCUAAGGCAGCUUCAAGUCCAUUUCGAUCUGCCACAAGCUGUAGAGCCCUCUAUUCCUACUCCACCAGAGCCACACUCUCAGCCUUCAGAGUCUCAUCCUCCAGAACCCGAAGCACCAGCUGAUCCACCUACUGAGGAGGCAGAUCCUUCUGCCUAGCACCAUCACCCCCCUCAUCAGACAUUAUAUAUAUAUUUGCUGUUUAUGUUUUUAUGCAUGUUUGUUUUGUUUUAGUUGAAAAGAAAUCCCAGUAUUUUGGUACUAUAUAUGGGAUUCCUUGUGUUACUUGUCUUUAGUAUUGUAAUCACAUGAACUCAAAGUAAUACAAGUUGACUAUUUCUUGUUAAAAGUUAGCAUUAAAGUUUCCUUAUUUCCUUUUCUCACAUAUUCUAUUCUUUUUGAAACAUGUGGUUUUCCCCAAUCAAUAUUCGAAUUUGAUAUCAGCAUGGAGGUACCACUUCCUCCCUUUUAUUACAGUCACUCAAAUCACAUUGAGGACAAUGCUCAGUUCGGUUGGGGGGUAUGAGGAAGGAAGUAUUCUAAACCUUUUUGGUAUUGCAAUUAUAUUGGUUAAUUAGUUGUAGAUUUUACUUUUUACUAGUGUUACUCUAUUCUCCAUGAAUUUUGAGGAAAAAUUUUCAAAUUAAACCAAGAGAAAUUGAACUGUUGUUUUUCACUUGACUUAGAGUAUGGAUUAUGCUUACUAAAGUGGUUCAAUUGUUGAAACUUCUACUGAAAUUGAAUUGAGUUCUUCCACUUUAAGCUAUCCACACACUGUGCACAUUAGUUUCCGAUUAUAAGAUGAAAAGCUAUUUCCCUCUUGACUUAGUAUAUUUUUGGGACUUGGUAUAUUUGACCUCAUUUGAUAAAAAUUGAAACACCCUGCAAAAGGCCAAUGAGCCUUUGAAAUAAAGAAAGUUGUUUGCUUGCCUUGAAACCCGAGCAAGGUCUGAGGGGUAUAUGGUGAAAAUCUUUAAAGCCUGGUGCCCUAAGCCUUAAUUGGUUGGGAGUCACCGACCUCAAUGCUCGUUACAAGGGUGAAUAGGUAGAGUUAGCAUAUGGUAGAUGCUUGGGUAUUAGAAAUUCAUUCUUAAAAGUCCGGGGAAAAAUCCGAGGAGUUAGUGGUUGAAAGAUCCUUAAAACUUGGUGCCCUAAACCUUAAUUGGUUGGGAGUCAUCGAUGGACCCCCAUUACAUGGACAAGUCAGAAAGAGUACCCCAUAAAGCUACCUUAAAAAAAAAAAAAAAAAAAAAAAAAAAAAAAAAGAUGAAAGUGUGUUCUUUUCUUAUUGAUUUUGGUCAGUUUGCUAAAGUGUUGAAAAGAGAUAGGUUGGGGGGUGAGAUUAGUAGCAUAUUAUUCUCGGAACCUAAGGAACCAAUACACAUAGAUUUUUGUGGAAGAUUGAAGUUUAGUUCUUAGAAAAUGAAAUGAUUUUAAAACUUCAGUUUGCAUAAUGCACUCCCUUGAUUGACAGUGUUUAGCAUAGGUGUUAUGACUCUUGUUGAGAUUUGGGUUUGUAUUUCUUUAAUGAUUCAUGUGAGAAAUAGAUCAUCAUGCCACUUGAGAAUUAUUUUCCUUUUAGCAUGAUGUUGUAAAUUUUAGAUUAGUUUGCUAUUUAUUUUUUAUUUUCUCUCCUAUAUUGCUAAGGGACUAGCAAUAUGUCGGUUGGGGGGAGUGAUUACUACUCAAAAAGUGCUAUUUGAUAGCCUUUAAUUAAUCCUUUUUAACACUUUUGAGUAGUAGUUUAGGCCUUUUAACUCAAUUGGCAUGUUAAGGAUCCUUUAAAGCAAUUUUGAUCACUUUGUGCAAGUUUUGGUGUUUUUGUUAGUAUUUUGAUCACCAAAGCAAGUCAAGAAUGAGGAGAACUAUGAGGAAUCAUGGGCAAAGCUUAGAAUUCAAUUGCCAAGAGUGAAUCCGGAUUGCAAGGAGAAAAAGCAAAGAGAAUCUGUCAUGAAGCCUAUUCUUGAUGACAGUCGUAGCAGCCACUUUUGGAGCACUUUCUGAAGUCCAAAUGAUGCAAGCUAUAUACCAUUUCAAAGCUCAGGAAGUCAACAAUCCAAUGCUUCAAACGGUGCGCGAUUCGGAGUUGAAACGAAGAAGUUGCAGCCAUUACAAGCCAGUCACUCUAAAGUGUUGCGGAAUCAGCCUUUUGUUGCGAGAAUUUCGCAGCACUUUUGUACAGUAAGGUGUUUCUCCUUCUGACGAUGCACGAACCAUGCCGCGAGAGGGAAGCUAGGAACUUCAAGAUGGAAGCCAACUUUGCAGCCUGGUGAAGAUAGCUUGGUCUUGCGAAAUAAUUUCGCAGCCCUCUUGGGUGUCUGCGAAAUUUCGCAGGCACCACUUUUUUCCUGCGAAAUGGCUCCGGAAGCCUCCCGAAGCUUGCUACCGACAUUGGGAGAUAUUUUCCAUUAGAUUUUUGUUGUCUAAAUUCCAAAAUACUCCUUGUAAACCACCAAUUACAUGAUUCCUUAGUUUUUAAGUUAGUAAAAAGACCAAAUAUCUAUGUAAUAAUUAGUUUUAUAUUAGUUUGCUAUAAAUACCUCUCGGGAGCAUGUUCUCAGAGAGGAGUUCCUUCUGUAACCAUUUUGGUAAGCAAGUAAAGUCUUUUCUUUCUACUGCCUUACCUUCUCACUUUGUAUUUUCAUUUUAUUUCUAAGUUAUGAAUUCUCUGAGGAGCUUUCCCCAGAGAAUGAGUAACUAAACCUCCAAUUCCUUGGAGCUAAGGUUGCCGGGGAAGGUUCCAAGUGCAAGAAUGCAAAGCUCUGUGGUUUUAGCUAGUAAUGAAGAGGAAGUGAAAUCCUUUAGUGAUUUCAAUGUUUUUAGUUAACUUAAAACACCUUGGAGUCACCUGGGCCAACACUUGGUAAGGCAAGUGAUUUCCAACCGUGGAAAUGCACUAGUUUACCCCUUGCGAGCCUCUGGUAGGUGACUUCAAGGUAGGAUUUUCUGGAAUUACCAACACUUGGUAAGCUUUUGGACUCCUAGGAGACAUCCAUUAGUUAUCUCUUGCGAGUUUGUGAAGGGGAAUCCAAGGUUAAAGAUCACCUUGAAUGGUAAGUGCUCGUGAGAGGCAUGAACCAUUGCAAGUUGUAUCAGUGAGAGAAUUAAAGUGAAAUCUAAUUGAAGGAGUCUCUGUACAUCACCGGUUAGAGAAUUGACUAUAAGUUGAAUCUCUAAUGCGAGGAAAUGAACCAUCUGACCGGAGCUAUGUCUUUUGCAUGAGGAACCACCCCAGUGAACCUAAAUCUCCAAGGAAUGCUUUUCUUCCUAAAUUAUUCCAAACUUCUGUUAAGUUAGUUAGUUUAAGUCUAAACCUUUACCAAUCAAACUUUGUGUUUUAUUCCUUAAGCUAACCGUGAAAUGAAACAAAACCAAUUCACUUGGAAUUGGUAUCCUUGAUUGCUUGCAAAUCAUUCCCAGUGAACGAUCCUUAGAGCCACUAUACUAUAGUAGCUUUGUAUUUGCUACCCUAGUGUAUGGUGUUAUAGGUAUAAAUUUUGUUGAUCACUUCCUCAAUCAAGGAACACCAGCUGAACACAAAUCAGCUGAGACACCAAUUGGGCAUGAGUCAGUGCGUUAGAGGAUCAAGAAGAAGAAAAAGAAGGAACUGUUGGAAUUAGUAUGAGUGUGAAGAGAAAAGUAUAUAAAUAAGGGGAAGUAAAAGCAAAGUUCAAAAAGCUAUAUUUUUUUAUUGUUGGUGUAUGGUUGCAUGAUUAUCCCUAUAAAUAAUAGGAGUUUUUUGGUAUUCUACUAGUAGUUGAAGCAUAAUUUCAUAAAUUAAUAUUUAGAGCGGGGUGGGGUGAGUUGUGACAAAAUUCAUACCCGUCCCAAACCUUGGUUCAGAUUUUUAAAAUAUUCUCAAACUUAUCAUAUACCCAACUUUUAUAUUUCAUACUUGUCCUAAUAGAGGCACGUUAGGCCGGGUUACUUGAGUAACCUACAUAAUUGUCAUCCCUAGUUGAAAUACACUUUUUGGCAGUGGCCACCAACUGAGCUAGAAGCUUGAUUGAUUGACCUACAAGAUUAGUUCUCAUCAUUUUAAAAAAAGUUCUGGCUUUGGUUGUGAGUGCAAUUGAAUCUAAACUGGCAUUUGCUUAAUGCAUCUACUUCAAUCCUAAACUUCUUACUUCUUAAGCCUCAAUUGUUGUUAGGAUUUUGGAAAACCCAUUUCCUUAAAUUGUAAAUUUAAGAUAAAAUAAAAUAAAAGUGAGACAUUUCUUGAUUGAAUAUUGUUAAAGGUCCCUUGGCAUUAAGACUUGGUUGAAGCCUUGGAAGAUUAGUGGAACUCUCAACAUGUGUUUGAAUCUUGAGGAGAGUGGAUGUAAGCCAAAAUUUUGUCAAACCAUUAUACAAAUUGAGUUUGAAUCCUCAUUUCUUGAUUUCUUAUUUAUUUGCUUUUUCUUAUUAUUACUUGAAUUGUCAUUUGCAUUCAUUAAUGUUAAAAUUGGUUAUAAUUAACCAACACUAAUUCUCUUUCCCCUUCCCUUUCUUGGGUGUAAACCUAGGUUGGAUUAACUAGAUAAAUCUAUUAAGAUGGUAAAAGAAUAAUUAUUCUUAACAUACAUAAGAUCAUCUUCAAUCAAAUGACUCAUUGGCUAAUAUGUUGAAUUUGCUUAUUACUUGCAACUCAAAAUUGUGUUCUAGUUGUGUCAAGUCCCCAGUGUAUGGACAUUAAAUUUGUAGUACGUGAUGAGUAAUUAGAUGGUCCAACUCCAAGAAAGUGAUUGAAAAGUAGUUCAAGAAAGGUGCAAAAGGGAAUUGUUUUGGUAUUUUCGUUUUUAUUCUUGAAGGUGGCAGAGCUAAAAUUUGAGAAAUCAAGCAAAACAUACUGAAAUUACAUUGAAAGAAAGAAGAUGGGAGUUAAUGUCUUGCAGUACAUGAUAAGGACUUCAUGCAUGUAGUGUGACCCAUGUCUUGGACUGAUGCCAACUCACGGUUACACUUAUACCCUUGGUUCUCUCUUUACUACCUUGGCUAACCUAGAUCAGGCUAUGAGAUAGGCUCCUCACCACACCAUUACUUGCCCAUUAAUUAGAGACAUUUUCAAGCAAUGAGGUAACAUGGUGACACCAAGAGGGUCUAUUCCUCGCCCGGAACAAGUCUAGACUUGGUCUCAAAAAAAUGGAGAAAAAUGAGGUGUCGUUAUGUAGAAAUACAACAACCAUGCCUUCCUCAUUACUUAGAUUCAGAAUGUGAAGGUGAAAUUGAGAAACAGAAACUCUUGAAACCAAAAUGAAAAUUGAUACUUUUACGAAGAAUUACAACAACAUUAGAGGAAGACUACAUUCUUCCUCUUUAUUCCUACAUUUCUACACUACUUCUACUCCACUCCAUAUUUCUACAUACAUCUUUAAUCAGUCUUCCCUCCUUUAUAUAGAGCCAUCUUCACACAAAUUUCGCAAGGUAGAAAAGAGGAAUGAAACUUGGAGCAAGGUUCGACUACUGGUUGUAGCUUGUCAAGGCUGGAAGUGAACUUUUCUUGGCUUUCUGGGCAUGGGUAGUAACUUGUGGGUUCCUGUUUGGCAUAAAAAUGGCUAGAACAUGUGGCACUAUCUUGUUGGAUGAUGUGUCAAGCAUGUGGCAGCCAUCUAGUGGCGAUUAUGUCAAUUUUGGGAUGGAGAGUUGGCAUCCAAUUGCAAAGAAAUAUGACGUCUACCAACAUGCAAUGUAAACCUAUGUAGAUCAUAUGAAGAUAGAGAGGAAAAAUAUAGAAAUGGAUAUAUACCUAGAACUAGCUUUUUAUUAAAUGAAACGGAGAGACAACAAUGAAGGAAAAUAAAAUUUUUUGGCUUAUAUCAAAGAGUUCACAUUGUGUUACCCUAGGUUUUCUUAAAACUUACUUUUAUGAUAACAAAAAAGAAAAAACCAUUAUUGUUUAAUCCUUUGUUUUAAACGCAUGUAAGGUGUAAUUAAGUUAGUUCAAUGCAUUAAUUUAAGAAACUUGACCUAUCAAAAGUACAAAAUUAGAUGAAAUCCAUUUCAAUGGUUAAAAUGAUCAAAAUCAAACUUUUUCUAAGUAUUUUUUAAAAGCAUCAAUAGUGAAAGACAAUUUUAUAUUUAGUCGGAGUUUGGACAAAACUGAAAAACACACAAAAUCCAAGCGACCAUCUCUAGCUUGGAUGGUCGCUUGAUCCCACCUAGAGAUGUGCAUGAGUAAAAGGAUUUGAAAAUGGAAAUUGACUAUGUAGUCGAUCAAUUAACUUUGCAACAUCAUAUGCAAUCCUAAUUGCUAGUCAUCUAAUCAAUUAGGUAGUCAAUCAACAGGCCAAAAAUAUGUUUAUAAUGACUAUUUUGUACAAAAACCACCUGUAUAGUUAAAUAUAAUGCAUUUCAUUUAUAAAUCUUCUAAUUCUUGAAUAACGAUCCUAUCAUCCUUUGAAAGUUUUUAUUACACUUUUUUUACUUUUGUUCUAAAACUUACACAUCACCCUUAAUUGUACCAUGAGAACCUAGCUAUUUUUUAUUUUUUUUUUUGUAAUUCAUCAAAGUUAGCUUUUGUAUUCAUUGUUGUAUUAUUUUUAGUAUAACUUAGAAAGCUAGUGUUUUCAAGUGAGUAAAAUUAACUUGUAAAUAUUGUAAAGAUUCAUCGACAUGUAUCUUAAACUAAGUGUACAAGUUAAAACAUUUGCUAGUAGAUUUUCUCAAAAUUUAGAAUAGAGCUUGAGACUAUUGAAAUAGGUGGGGUUGCACCAAACCACAUCACAUCGUUGUUUGCACCUUUUUUCACUCUCUUUUACUUAGUUGCUCUAUAUUUGUUGUCUAGUAAUAUCCUAUAGGCUUGAUGGGUUAGGGAGCAUCCCUUUGUGAAAAAAUUUUAUUCAAUCCUUAGUUGUAUCACGCAUAUAUAAAAUGCCUCAUUGUUUUAAUGGUAUUCAGUCGUGGCAUCACAGAUAUGGGCAUCUAAAUUUUAAAAGUUUGAAACUUUUAUCUAAAGAAAAUAUGGUGCUUUGCCUUUUUGUAAAGCAUGUUGAUGAAAUCCAUGAGAAUUGUGUACUUGGGAAGCAACACCGAGAUGACUUUUUUUUUUUUUUUAUAAUAUUGUUUGUCCAAAUUCCCUACAAAUUAGGCCACCAGAUGUUCAUAAUUCUCCCUUCUUGAAUUUGAAAACUCGGACAAUUGGACAAUGCGACACCUAAGUCCGGUUUCUAAAUGCUAAAGUGAAAGGGUAGGUAUGGACCAUUGAAAUGUGAUCACAACUUUUCUCUGUAGCCAUGUUGUCUCUUUUUUCUUUUGCAUGAUUUUCUUACCUUAACAGAAUCAUAGACUUGUUUAGUCUCUAAAUGGGAUUAAUUUCAUCCAGCUUUAAGCUACUAUAUUAUAUCUAGGUGGAGGACUUUUAAGAGUGCAACCGACAUAGAGCACAUGGAAGUGGGUAUAUGGGACAUGAAAUUUCUUCUUAUAAAGAUUGCAUGAUUUUUAUAUUAGAGUUGUUGAGGCGCUAUGUAUUUAGCUUGUUUUGCAGUUAAAUUAAUUGGAUAAGUAGACAUUGGCGUUUCUAAAUCUACUGUGAAGUGCUUCAUGUACGUGUGAAGUAUUAGAAAUUUCUUUCUUGGCAACUUGUUUUUCUUUGCGGUCUACUGAUAGGUUUGACUAAAAUUAUAUUCCCUGUCAUGCUAAUUAAUUUUCACGUGCAUGCUCAAAAGAAAAGUAUGACCUUAGUGCACCAAAAUCACUUUGAUUAAUUUGUGAUAGGUUUUUGUGCAUCAUGACAUUAGCCUUAUUCAUUUAGAUAAUGUUUAGUUUUUAGAAAGUAUUAAGAAAAGGAAAAUAAAUAUUAAGAAAAAUAUUCUUAUAUUUGAUUGUAUUAUGAAAAAUAUCAUAAAAAAAUCAAAUAUAAUUUAAAUUAAUUAAUAAUUUAUACAUUUUCAAAUUAUUUAAUCUUUAUAUUGAAGAUAUAAUAUAAAUGAAAUGAGUUUUAAGUAUUAUAUAAAAGUGAUUUAUUGAUCUUACAUAUAUAUAUUUCUUUUUUUUUUCCUUCUAUUUUUUCUCUUUAUUUUAUUUUCCUUAUGUUUUCCUCAACAUUUUCCGGAACCAAACAUAGCCUUAGGAAAUCCACAAUUACCUUCAACUGAGUAGAUUCUGUUGUUUUAGCAAUGUUAGGCUGCUAACUUGUGUUGGUACGAACCUAUUAAGCCUAAAGAUGUAAUUAGUUAGGAUAUUCUUUUCCCUCUAGUCUUGUAGCUCCACGUGUACAGUUGGUUAGGACCUCAUUGUAUAUAAUGCUUGCCCUGUUAUUGUAGAAGACAACAAAGAUAAAUAAUAUUAACAUUUUUCCUCUCAUCUCUCUCUGUUUCCCUCUGUUUUCAUCUCCUCUCUCAUCUUGGUAUCAGAGCCUCCAUGGCUUCUUUCAAAGAAACCUCCGAAUCACCUUCUGCUAGCAUUGUUAAUGUGCAAAACCCAUUAUCUCAAUCAAACAACCUUCCUUCACCAGUAGCCACACCCUCUUUUUCUUUCUCGUCUAUGAAUCAACCUCUCACAGUGAAGCUGGAUAAUGGGAACUACCUCAUAUGGAAGAAUUAGCUUCUAAAUGUCAUCAUUGCUAACGGACUCGAUGAUUUCAUUGACGGAUCUCGACCCUGCCCUCCUCGAUUUCUCGAUCUGCAACAACAAACCCUCAAUCCAGAGUACUCAGCUUGGCAGAGAUACAAUCGACUUCUGAUGAGUUGGCUGUACGCAUCCUUGUCCAAAGAUAUAAUGGCUCAGAUUGUUGGGUAUUCAACAGCUAUGGAGAUUUGGAAUGCCCUUAAUCAGAUUUACUCUGCCUCUUCUAUGGCGCGGUUUACUGAGCUUCGCACCAAGCUUCAAACGCUCAAGAAAGAUGGACUCUCAGUUGGUGAAUAUAUUCAAAGGCUCAAAUCCAUUUGCAAUAGUCUUGCAGCAAUAGGAGAACCAGUUUCUGAGAAAGACCAUCUUAUCUAUUUGUUCAAUGGAUUAGAUUGUGAGUAUUAUUCUUUUGUUACCUCCAUUCAAAAUCGAUCUGACCAACCAACUAUUGACAAAAUCCAUAGCCUAUUGCUUAGCUAUGACUUCCGGCUUGAACAACAAAACUCUGUUUCUCUCCAUUCUGCCCAAGUCCAUAUGGCUCAUCUGAACAAGAAACCUUAUAAAUCAACUCCUCAACCUACAUUCAAUCAUAUUCACAUUCAACCUAGAUACUCUUCUCCACCUUUUAAGCCAACCACUAGUCAAUAUCAACCCAACAUUUUGGGCAAACCACAACCACAACCAUGACAGCCUCAACCUCAAUGGAAACCACAUUUUUCAAUCUAAAAUCAAAAGCCUCAGCGCCAAAUUUGUGGUAAAUUUGGACACACUGCUCUUAUUUGCUUCCAUCACACAAAUUUGAACUAUUCACCCCAACCUUCUCCUAAAUCUUUCAAUACUGUUCUCACCACAAAUUCCCAGCUCCCUAAUCCUCCAAAAUUUUCUUACCCUACAAUGGCUCAUCCUGCUGCUACGCAUAACACGGUUCCCGAUACAAAUUGGUACAUGGACUCAGGUGCUACACAUCACUUUACUCUGGACAUCAACGUGCUUGACACUGUGACACCAUUUAGUGGUUCAGAACAGGUGACAGUUGGGAAUGGUAAGCAACUCUGUAUCUCACAUCUUGGUACUGCAAAACUACCAUCUUCGUAUUCUCCUCCUGUUCUACAUCAGGUAUAUCACACUCCAAAAAUUUCAAAUAAUCUUAUUAGUGUUAAAAAAUUGUGUUCUGAUAAUAAAGUUUUUGUUGAAUUUUAUGCCACUCAUUUUCUUGUCAAGGAUCAGGUUUCGAAGAGAGUUCUCCUUUAGGGUCAACUUGAUAAUGGCUUAUACAAAGUUCAGUCGUCAUGCUCUCCUUCUGCUGUUUCCUUUCCUCCUCAAGUUUUCAUAGCCAACAUCAAGUAUCCAAAUCUGUGGCACAAGAGACUAGGCCACCCAGCUUUAUCUGUUGUUAAUCAAAUCUUGGAUUCUUGUAACAUUGCUCGAACACAGAAAAUUUGUUUUAAUUUUUUAAAUUCUUGUCAAUUAGCAAAGAGCCACAGGCUUCCUUUUUCUCUGUCUCCAUCCAUUGCAGAAAAACCUUUUGAGUUAAUUCAUACAGACCUAUGGGGUCUUUCGCUCGUUCGCUCUAUUUCUGGUGCUCUUUAUUUUUUACUUUUCAUUGAUGAUCAUACUCGUUUUACUUGGUUUUAUUUGCUCAAAACAAAAGAUGAAGCAUAUCCUACUUUUCUCAAGUUUCAAGCUCUCAUUGAAAAUCAAUUUAAUACCAAGAUUAAGGCUGUCCAAUCUGAUUGGGGAGGUGAGUUUCGAUCUCUCUCCAUACCGUUUUCAAAUAUGGGCAUUGUCUAUUGUUUAUCGUGUCCAUACACCUCACAACAGAAUGGGCGAGUUGAGCGAAAAAAUCGCCAUGCGAUUGUCCUUUCUUGCUUGCUCUAUGCCCUUAUCUUAUUGGCCUUAUGCCUUUCAAACUGCCACUUACCUUAUUAAUCGUCUCUCUACCCCUGUGCUGCAUCAUCAAUCCUCUUACUUCGCACUCUAUCACAAACUCCCAACUUAUACUCAUCUUAAGGUCUUUGGUUCCUCUUGUUUUCCGUAUUUGCACCCUUAUAAUACCCAUAAACUCCAAUACAGGUCACUAGAGUGUGCUUUUCUUGGUUACAGUUCACACCACAAAGGUUAUCUAUGUCUUGACAUUCAUUCUAGCAGGGUGUAUAUUUCUCGCCAUGUGAUUUUUAAUGAAGAUUCUUUUCCAUUCAAGAAUUUGAAAUCUUCUCUCUCUCAGUCUAUUUCUUCUUCCUCUUCUUUAUAAGUUCCUCUGUUCAUUCUCUUGCCUCCCCUUUCCCCAUCUCCUCUUAUUUCUUCAUCUAUACCUCAUUCUUUUCCCUCUUCUUCUUCUACCUCUAGUACUUGUUCCCCUCUCGUUGCUCCUACCUCUCUUCCUUCCUCUUCACACUCUGUGUCUCCAUCUAUUCCACCUCCUUCUCCACCUUCUCCGAGUGUGGACCUGCUUGCACCUUGUGUGAAUACAAAUUUACAUACUUCUUCUCGCACUCACAAUAUUCAUCCUAUGGUGACUAGAUCUAAGGUUUGUAUCUAUAAACCUAAGUUGUUGUUGAGUGUCUCCAUAGGUUCUCUCACUAAGCCUACUUCCUUUCUUCAAGCUAUUAAAGAUCCUUCAUGGAAGCAAUCCAUGGAAUUCGAGUUUGCUACCCUUCAACACAACAAGACCUGGCAUUUGGUUCCUUCACCUUCCUCAGGCGAAGUAAUCGGUUGUAAAUGGGUCUAUAAGCUAAAGCUUCAGCCUGAUGGCUAAAUUGAGAGAUACAGCCUGCUUAGUAGCUAAGGGUAUCAUCAAAUUGAAGUAUGGACUACUUCGAAACAUUCAGCCUGAUNNNNNNNNNNNNNNNNNNNNNNNNNNNNNNNNNNNNNNNNNNNNNNNNNNNNNNNNNNNNNNNNNNNNNNNNNNNNNNNNNNNNNNNNNNNNNNNNNNNNAGCUUCAGCCUGAUGGCUAAAUUGAGAGAUACAAGGCCUGCUUAGUAGCUAAGGGUUAUCAUCAAAUUGAAGGUAUUGACUACUUCGAAACAUUCAGCCUGAUUGUCAAGCUUUCUACUAUCUGUAUUGUGCUCAGUCUUACUUUUUCCCAGAAUUGGUGUAUUAGACAGCUGGAUGUUCAUAAUGCCUUCUUACAUGGUGACUUAGCUAAAGACGUUUUCAUGGAACAACUGCCUGGAUUUGUUGAUCCUCUCUAUCCUACUCAUGUCUGCAAGUUGGAUAAGUCUCUCUACUGUCUUAAAUAGUCACCUCGGGCUUGGUAUACUAAGCUGAGUACUUCUCGCUACACUUGGGAUUUGUUACUUCUAAGAAUGACUCUUCCUUAUUUAUUUGUCAUUCGUCUCAUGGGUUACUUCUUGUUCUUGUCUAUGUGGAUGAUAUAAUCGUCAUUGGGAGCCACUCUCCUCAGGUUACUCACCUUAUCCAACAGUUGCAUCAUUAGCUUUCUUUAAAGGAUCUUGGUCCUUUACAUUAUUUUCUGGGCUUGGAGGUUCAUCACACCCCUACUGGUAUUCACCUCAGCCAAGCAAAGUAUAUCACUGAUCUCCUUACCCGGGCGGCUAUGUUGGAUGCCAAGCCAUGUCCCACUCCUAUGUCCUCCAACACAUAUCUCUCUUUUCAUGAUGGAGUGGCUCUUGAAAAUGGUUCAGAUUAUCGAAGUUUUGUUGGUGCCCUUUAGUAUUGUACCAUGACACGCCCAGAUAUAGCUUUUGCAAUAAAUAAAGUGUGUCAAUUCAUGCACCAUCCCUCUAAUGUUCACUGGCAGGCUAUAAAACGUAUUCUCCGGUACUUAAAGGGCACAUCUCAUUUUGGUCUCUUCCUACAGCCUUCCUAUGACUUCAACAUCACUUGCUAUACAAAUGCCGACUGGGCUUCCUGUCCUGAUGACAAGUGUAGCACCAGUGGCUACUGCCUCUUUCUUGCCUCUAAUCUGGUUUCUUGGUCAUCUUCCAAACAAAAAGUGGUCUCCCGCUCCAGCGCCGAAUCAGAGUACCGAGGGGUAGCAAAUGGGGCUGCUGAAAUUGCUUGGACUGAAUCUCUUCUUUGUGAACUUUCCAUUACUCCCCCUCCCCUCAUUCUCUGUGACAAUAUCAGUGCCACGUACUUAGCUGCCAAUCCUAUUUUGCAUGCCCGCACCAAACAUGUGGAAAUCGACUAUCACUUUGUCACGGAACGUGUUCUUCAAUGCUCUCUUUUUGUCCAGUUUACACCUUCUGAUGAUCAACUUGCUGAUUGCAUGACCAAGCCUCUCUCCACCCAACGUUUCAUCACUCUACGCUCCAAGCUCACUGUUCUCACUAGACCAAUGAGCUUGAGGGGGGAUGUUAAGCCUAAAGAUGUAAUUAGUUAGGAUAUUCUUUUCCCUCUAGUCUUGUAGCUCCACGUGUACAGUUGGUUAGGACCUCAUUGUAUAUAAUGCCUGCCCUGUUAUUGUAGAAGACAACAGAGAUAAAUAAUAUUAACAUUUUUCCUCUCAUCUCUCUCUCUGUUUCCCUCUGUUUUCAUCUCCUCUCUCAUCUGAACCAAAUGAUCCAUGUUAACCUUGGCUUGGUUUGAUUUGGCUCUAUCUUAGAGAGCUCAAGGAUCACGUCAACUCUGGUUUCUACUAUUCAGGUCCAUUCCCAUAUGAACUGGUUCAAAUUUGAGAAAAUGGUAACAGACCUUUAGUGAUGUUGGUUUGGAGCCAGUUGCCAAACCCGCCCUGAGCUUUACCACUAAUGUCAAGGGAGAAAGCCAUUUGAACAAAAACAAUAGCUUCAAGGGACUGAAUCGUGGAUGAAAUCUGAUCCACAUUUCUUCUCAUUUUGGAAACAAAUGAGAACUUAACUAAGAAGAUUCUACGGCCUCAUAGUGCUUUUCCUGAUCUAAGGUUGGUUCGUUUCCCAAACUGUGAGAUGCACGUGCCAGACUUCAGAACUCUCACGCUCAGGAGUGUAUCCACGUGGUGGACAUAAGAUGGUGGCUUAAGAUCUGGUGUCGGUGGCUUUACUUUACUAGGAGAGUAGUGUGUCUUCAUCUCAUUCACUGCCGGAGGGUGGCGUAAGCAGUGACGCUAAGGUGGGGCACAGUCAAUAUCAUUUGCAUUUGACCAUUAUAGUUUUCUCCCGGCUUUAAAGUAACCUUAUCGUGAUAAAGGAUUACUAGCACUAGUUCAGAUGAUAGUCAUGUUAAAUUCGGACCAUGUUUGUGUCACAUUAUCAGCAACCAUGUGUUUAUGGUUCAUGCUUUCUGCAACUAAAAUUGAUAUAUAACCAGGUGAACUUCAAUCUAAAUUCUGAAAGUACUCAUGUGAUAGAUGGUGCCCGUCUGCAGAGUCCAUCAAUUGAAAAAUGGAGUGAGUGUAUCUAUAAGAGGGAAGGCUUGGAAAAUGUUCAGUUUUCUGGGAAUUCAACAAGGAUCUAAAAUAGAUUGUUUUCUUUGCUGAUUUCAAUGGUUGAAAUUUGAGAAGAUUGUGUCCACAUAACACAACUAUUACUGGUCCUUCUGUUGCAAUUUAUCCUCUAAAGCUCUAGCAUGUCUUCCAAUUCCCACUUCCCUGUUACUCCAGGAAAGCUAUUUCUGUCAUUGUGAAGAAGAAAAGAGAAUGUACAUAUCGAUGCUUUUAAGUGACUGGAGCAUUUAUAUCAGGUGGUCUGCAGCCAUAUAUGCCACUUUGUGAAGAUUGGAACAGUCAAUCACUAGGCUAUAUAUUAGUGUGGCCCAGCCACUUUAAUCAAGGACAAGUCUUCAUACUUAAAGUCAAAUUCUGCCUUUAGUCUCAUUAUAAAUUUCUGUUUAAAUAUUAAGCAAACAUUUGUUUAAUGCGAUUAAGACAGUACUAACUCAAUACCUGUUCUAUUUUUGGAUGCAAAUGCUUGAUGGUUUCAUCAUUGGAUGGGAUAAAGGUGCAUUCAUGAUUAGGAAUACUAGUAGUUAUAUUUUAAUUCUCUUUUUUCUCAAUGAGACUUGUUGGCACAAUUUUGCUGUUGAGAAACCUACCUCUCCAUGGAAAAUAAGUUGUGAUUGAUAGUACUGGAUAUAUUCAAGAAAUCUAAAUAUAGAUAGCACAAAAUAUUAUCGACAUAAAUAGCAUUAACAGCGUACGUAUGUCUCAGUGCUCAUCAGCUAUAAGCAUGGGGCAAACACUUACUAUGAGCAACUUACGUCAAAAUUCCAGAAUAGGACAUAGAAGUGACAGAUAUAGAACAUUGCAUAUGAGUCACAAGAAAGGAAAUUACGGGUGCAUAGCAGCUCUUAUUUUACAUACUACUACUCAUACUGAUCAAAGUCACUCAGUUGGGAUGGGUGGGAGUAGGAGGUUUGUGGGGUGGCUUGUGCGGAGGAGUUGGCAGCUUCUUUCCAGGACCUGGUUGCUUCUCUGCUGGAGUUGAAGGAGGCUUAAUCUUCCGAGGUGGCUUGUAUGAGUCUUCAGCAUUCUCAGCUGGAGGGUGACCAGGGUUGUGACCAUAAUGUGGUGGCUUCUCUCCCUUAGGUGGUUUGCCAACUGGGGUUGGUGGCUUGUAUGAGUCUUCAGCAUUCUCAGCAGGAGGGUGACCAGGGUUGUGACCAUAAUGUGGUGGCUUCUCUCCCUUAGGUGGUUUGCCAACUGGGGUUGGUGGCUUGUGUUCUGGGAGUGGCUUCUCCCCCUUGGGAGGUUUUUCCAAUGGGGUUGGUUUGUGUUCAGGAGGUGGCUUCUCCACUGGAGGCUUGUGUUCAGGAGGUGGCUUCUCCACCGGAGGCUUGUGUUCAGGUGGUGGCUUCUCCACCGGAGGCUUAUGCUCUGGUGGUGGCUUCUCGAAUGGGGGAUGCUUAGGAUAAUCAGCAAGUGAGGGGGCGGUGAGAACCACCAGGCCAAGCAACACCACUAGCAAAUAUGUAGGAGACAUCUUUGGGUUUGGGCUCAGAUGGUGCAAAACUAGGAGAAUUGGCUAGCCUUUUAUAGCGGAUCGUACCCAAUAAUGAAAUGACACGUGUCAUUAUGACCCAUGUGUAAUGGGGUCGAUUUGGGUCCUACAGUGUUGAAAACUUCGACAUCCACUUUUGGCCUUUUGCUUUCUCUACAGCCGCCUUGCUUUUUCCCUCUUUCCUUUUGUUUUCCUCCUGCCCCAUUCUAUCAACUAAACACAAUUAUGUAGUUGUUUAAUUCUUAAAUGAGAUAUUAUCCGUCAAUCGUAUUAUAUUUUAUCAAGAGAGAACGGAGUGCAAUGUGGCUGUAAUUUUAUCGUUUAGUUUUAUCUCUUGGACCACUGCAUUUUUGUUAAGAGGUGCAAUAAUACACGUCUUUAUCUGCCAUUCAAUAUUUACAGUAAAGAGAGGGCACAAAACUCUUCACUUCGCACCAUAAUUAUUUUGUUUUCUGGACACCCCGGGGCCCUUUGGUUGGUUUGGGGGUCAGAAAGUGAACAUCAUAGGGGGUUUUUCCCUUAUGUGCAUUUGUAUCUGAUGGCUUUAACUCGCCUUGUUACUACAAAGAAACUGUCACAGAUAGGAACUUAUUCCAGGCUGAGUAUCUCCUCAUAGACCCUAUAAAAGAAGACAAGUCAUAAUGAACAUCUAACCUUUGUUCAAUUUGAUUCAAUGCCCCCAUUGUGUCCAUCUCACAAAUCUGAAUUAUUAUAUCCAUUGAAUACAUAAAUUAAUGAAGAAAAUAUGAAACCCAAGAUACAUCUCUGCACAACCUCAACCCUGGUUGCUAUGUUUCCCUUCUAUUCACAUGAUUUGAUGCUAAUUGCCAAACUUGCAACAAGCCCUGAGUUUGACACCUAGUAUCGAUGGGCGAAUUUAAAGUCUCCUCCAAACAUAUAUUCCACAGCUUGAAGCUCACAGAAGAUGUUACAGGCAGGGAAAAACCUUCAGAGUUCGCUACCAAAGAUAAUUAUUAAGGAGAUAUCACAAAGAGAAUUCCAAGGGGUCUGAAUCAAAGACAAAUUGGUCGUUCGUGGGGGUUCUUACUUUCUUUUGGGUAUAACUCACUGAGGGCACUGUCUUUGUUAUUUGCAUUUCACAUUUAGAGUUCUGUUCUGGAAACAUAUAAAAGGAGCAUCAUUUUGUUCUUGGGUAACCCAUAGUCGUGAGUGGGUCCAUUUGCAUGCUACUUAGUUGAAAAGUUGGACCAUUUGCUCCGACGCCUACCUCCCGGAUUCCAUGCUCGGAUAAAACAAGAAUAAAAAAAAUAUUUAUAAUUUACAAAUGGGGGAAAGAAAAAAAUGUCAACAACAAACCAGGAAAAAAGAGUAGUAAAAUUCAUGUCACAUGCUAGUGAGAGAAGGGGUUGUUACACUCACUCGAAGUUCUUUCCAAAAUAUCGCAUGGUAUUUUAUUUUAUGUGUCAGCGCAGUUGUGAAUGGAACGUGCAAAAGUCCAAAUUGGCGUUUUUCCUUUUCCCGUGUAGGAUGGCGACCUUUAAUAAAUAUUUAAAACAAAAAACGAAAAAAAGGAGGGAAAAGGGAUCAGAAAAGAUAAAACAAUGUGUACAAGAGCUCAAUUAGUUUGCAAAUUACUGUUUGGAUUUUGAUAGUAUUUUAUUUGUCCAUCUAUAUUUGAUGGAAAAGAGAAUUUAAGAUAUUUCUGAAACAAAAGCAUUAGUGUAAAACUAAAUUAAGGUAUAAUUAAGUUAGUUCAAUGCAUUAAUUUAAGAAACUUGAUCUAUCCAAAGUACAAAAUUAGAUGAAAUCCAUUUCAAUGGUUAAAAUGAUCAAAAUCAAACUUUUUCUAAGUAUUUUUUAAAAGCAUCAAUAUUAAAAGACAAUUUUAUAUUUAGUCGGAGUUUGGACAAAACCAAAAAGCACACAAAAUCCAAGCGACCAUCUCUAGCUUGGAUAGUCACUUGAUCCCACCUAGAGAUGUGCAUGAGUAAAAGGAUUUGAAAAUGGAAAUUGACUAAAUAUUUAGUUGAUCAAUUAAAUUUGCAAUGUCAUAUGCAAUCCUAAUAGCUAGUCAUCUAAUCAAUUAGGUAGUCAAUCAAGUGUUUGUAAUGACUAUUUUGUACAAAAAACCACAUGUAUAGUUAAAUAUAAUGCAUUUCAUUUAUAAAUCUUCUAAUUCUUGAAUAACGAUCCUAUCAUCCUUUGAAAAUUUUUAUUACACCUUUUUUACUUUUGUUCUAAAACUUACAUAUCACCCUUAAUUGUACCAUGAGAACCUAGCUAUUUUUUUUUUUUUUGUAAUUCAUCAAAGUUAGCUUUUGUAUUCAUUGUUGUAUUAUUUUUAGUAUAACUUAGAAAGCUAGUGUUUUCAAGUGAGUAAAAUUAACUUGUAAAUAUUGUAAAGAUUCAUUGAUAUGUAUCUUAAACUAAGUGUACAAAUUAAAACAUUUGCUAGUAGAUUUUCUCAAAAUUUAGAAUAGAGCUUGAGGCUAUUGAAAUAGGUGGGGUUACACCAAACCACAUCACAUCGUUGUUUGCACCUUUUUUCACUCUCUUUUACUUAGUUUCUCUAUAUUUGUUGUCUAGUAAUAUCCUAUAGGCUUGAUGGGUUAGGGAGCAUCCCUUUGUGAAAAAAUUUCAUUCAAUUCUUAGUUGUAUUACGCAUAUAUAAAAUGCCUCAUUGUUUUAAUGGUAUUCAGUCGUGGCAUCACAGAUAUGGGCAUCUAAAUUUUAAAAGUUUGAAACUUUUGUAAAGCAUGUUGAUAAAAUCCAUGAGAGUUGUGUACUUGGGAAGCAACAUCGAGGUGACUUUAUUUUUUUUUCCUUUUAUAAUGCCACACCUAAGUCCGGUUUCUAAAUGCUAAAGUGAAAGGGUAGGUAUGGACCAUUGAAAUGUGAUCACAACUUUUGGCCUUUUCCUUUCUCUGCAGCCAUGUUGUCUCUUUUUUCUUUUGCAUGAUUUUCUUACCAAAACAGAAUCAUAGACUUGUUUAGUCUCUAAGCUACUAUAUUAUAUCUCGGUGGACUUUUAAGAGUGCAACCGACAUAGAGCACAUGCAAGUGGGCAUAUGGGACAUGAAAUUUCUUCUUACAAAGAUUGCAUGAUUUUUAUAUUAGAGUUGUUCACGUGCAAUGUAUUUAGCUUGUUUUGCAGUUAAAUUAAUUGGAUAAGUAAACAUUGGCAUUUCUAAAUCGACUGUGAAGUGCUUCAUGUACGUGUAAAGUAUUAGAAAUUUCUUUCUUGGCAACUUGUUUUUUCCUUGCCAUCUACUGGUAGGUUUGACUAAAAUUAUAUUCCCUGUCAUGCUAAUUAAUUUUCAUGUGCAUGCUCAAAAGAAGAGUAUGACCUUAGUGCACCAAAAUCACUUUGAUUAAUUUGUGAUAGGUUUUUUUGCAUCAUUUAGAUAAUGUUUAGUUCUAAGAAAAAUUUAUAUAAAAAUGGUUUAUUUAUCUUACAUAUAUAUAUAUAUAUAUAUAUUUUUUUUUUUUUCAUUUUUUUUUCUUCUAUUUUAUUUAUUUAUUUUAUUUUCCUUAUGUUUUCCUCACAUUUUCCGGAACUAAACAUAGUCUUACGAAAUCAACAAUUGCCUUCAACUGAGUAGAUUCUGUUGUUUUAGCAAUGUUAGGCUGCUAACUUGUGGUGGUACGAACCAAAUGACCCAUGUUAAUCUUGGCUUGGUUUGAUUUGGCUCUAUCUCAGAGAGCUAAAGGAUCACGUCAACUCUGGUUUCUACUAUUCAGGUCCAUUCCCAGAUGAACUGGUUCAAAUUUGAGAAAAUGGUAACAGACCUUUAGUGAUGUUGGUUUGGAGCCAGUUGCCAAACCCGCCCUGAGCUUUACCACUAAUGUCAAGGGAGAAAGCCAUUUGAACAAAAACAAUAGCUUCAAGAGACUGAAUCGUGGAUGAAAUCUGAUCCACAUUUCUUCUCAUUUUGGGAAAAAAUGAGAACUUAACUACAAAGAUUCUACUGCCUCAUUCAUAGUGCUUUUCCUGAUCCAAGGUUGGUUCGUUUCCCAAAUUGUGAGGUGCACGUGCCACUCUCACGCUCAGGAGUGUAUCCACGUGGUGGACAUCAGAUGGUGGCUUAAUAUCUGGUGUCGGUGGCUUUACUUUACUAGGAGAGUAGUGUGUCUUCAUCUCAUUCACUGCCGGAGGGUGGCGUAAGCAGUGACGCUAAGGUGGGGCACAGUCAAUAUCAUUUGCAUUUGACCAUUAUAGUUUUCUCCCGGCUUGAAAGUAACCUUAUCGUGAUAAAGGAUUACUAGCACUAGUUCAGAUGACCGUCAUGUUAAUUCGGACCAUGUUUGUGUCACAUUAUCAGCAACCAUGUGUUUAUGGUUCAUGCUAUCUGCAACUAAACUUGAUAUAUAACCAGGUGAACUUCAAUCAAAAUUCUGGAAGUACUCUUGUGAUAGAUGGUGCCUGUCUGCAGAGUCCAUCAAUUGAAAAAUGGAGUGAGUGUAUCUAUAAGAGGGAAGGCUUGGCAAAUGUUCAGUUUUCUGGGAAUUCAACAAGGAUCUAAAAUAGAUUGUUUUCUUUGCCGACUUCAAUGGUUGAAAUUUGAGAAGAUUGUGUCCACAUAUCACAACUAUUACUGGUCCUUCUGUUGCAAUUUAUCCUGUAAGGCUCUAACAUGUCUUCCAAUUCCCACUUCCCUGUUACUCCAGGAAAGCUAUUUCUGUCAUUGUGAAGAAGAAAAGAGAAUGUACAUAUCGAUGCUUUUAAGUGACUGGAGCAUUCAUAUCAGGUGGUCUGCAGCCAUAUAUGCCACUUUGUGAAGGUUGGAACAGUCAAUCACUAGGCUAUAUAUUGGUGUGGCCCAGCCACUUCAAUCAAGGACAAGUCUUCAUACUUAAAGUCAAAUUCUGCCUUUAGUCUCAUUAUAAAUUGCUGUUUAAAUAUUAAGCAAACUUUUGUUUAAUGCGAUUAAGACAGUACUAACUCAAUACUUGUUCUAUUUUUGGAUGCAAAUGCUUGAUGGUUUCAUCAUUGGAUGGGAUAAAGGUGCAUUCAUGAUUAUGAAUACUUGUAGUUAUAUUUUCAUUCUCUUUUUUCUCAAUGAGACUUGUUGGCACAAUGUUGCUGUUCAGAAACCUACCUCUCCAUGGAAAAUAAGUUGCGAUUGAUAGUACUGGAUAUGUUCAAGAAAGCUAAAUAUAGAUAGCACAAAAUAUUAUCGAUAUAAAUAGCAUUAACAGCGUACGUAUGUCUCAAUGCUCAUCAGCUAUAAGCAUGGGACAAACACUUACUAUGAGCAACUUACGUCAAAAUUCCAGAAUAGGACAUAGAAGUGACAGAUCUAUAUAUAUAGAACACUGCAUAUGAGUCACAAGAAAGGAAAUUACGGGUGCAUAGCAGCUCUUAUUUUACAUACUACUACUCAUACUGAUCAAAGUCACUCAGUUGGGAUGGGUGGGAGUAGGAGGUUUGUGGGGUGGCUUGUGCGGAGGAGUUGGCAGCUUCUUUCCAGGACCUGGUUGCUUCUCUGCUGGAGUUGAAGGAGGCUUAAUCUUCCGAGGUGGCUUGUAUGAGUCUUCAGCAUUCUCAGCUGGAGGGUGACCAGGGUUGUGACCAUAAUGUGGUGGCUUCUCUCCCUUAGGUGGUUUGCCAACUGGGGUUGGUGGCUUGUAUGAGUCUUCAGCAUUCUCAGCAGGAGGGUGACCAGGGUUGUGACCAUAAUGUGGUGGCUUCUCUCCCUUAGGUGGUUUGCCAACUGGGGUUGGUGGCUUGUGUUCUGGGAGUGGCUUCUCCCCCUUGGGAGGUUUUUCCAAUGGGGUUGGUUUGUGUUCAGGAGGUGGCUUCUCCACUGGAGGCUUGUGUUCAGGAGGUGGCUUCUCCACCGGUGGCUUGUGUUCAGGAGGUGGCUUCUCCACCGGAGGCUUAUGCUCUGGUGGUGGCUUCUCCACCGGAGGCUUAUGCUCUGGUGGUGGCUUCUUGAAUGGGGGAUGCUGAGGGUAAUCAGCAAGUGAGGGGGCGGUGAGAACCACCAGGCCAAGCAACACCACUAGCAAAUAUGUAGGAGACAUCUUUGGGUUUGGGCUCAGAUGGUGCAAAACUAGGAGAAUUGGCUAGCCUUUUAUAGCGGAUCGUACUCAAUAAUGAAAUGACACGUGUCAUUAUGACCCAUGUGUAAUGGGGUCGAUUUGGGUCCUACAGUGUUGAAAACUUCGACAUCCAGUUUUGGCCUUUUGCUUUCUCUACAGCCGCCUUGCUUUUUCCCUCUUUCCUUUUGUUUUCCUCCUGCCCCAUUCUAUCAACUAAACACAAUUAUGUAGUUGUUUAAUUCUUAAAUGAGAUAUUAUCGGUCAAUCGUAUUAUAUUUUAUCAAGAGAGAACGGAGUGCAAUGCAGCUGUAAUUUUAUCGUUUACUUUUAUCUCUUGGACCACUGCAUUUUUGUUAAGAGGUGCAAUAAUACACGUCUUUAUCUGCCAUUCAAUGUUUACAGUAAAGAGAGGGCACAAAACUCUUCACUGCUCUGCAUGUGUCCCAAAAAUGCGAUUGGACAAAUUAUGAUUUGCAUGCUAAAAAGAGGCAAAUGAGGUUAAUUCGCACCAUAAUUAUUUGGUUUUCUGGACACCAUAAAAAGAUGUUAUACAGGCAGGGAAAAACCUUCAGAGUUAGCUACCAAAGAUAAUUAUCAAGCAGAUAUCACCAAGAGAAUUCCAUAGAGUCUGAAUCAAAGACAGAUUGCUCGCUCGUGGGGGUUCUUACUUUCUUUUGGGUAUAACUCACUGAGGUCACUGUCUUUUUUAUUUGCAUUUCACAGUUAGAGUUCUGCUCUGGAAGGUUUGUUCUGGAAACAUAUAAAAGGAGCAUCAUUUUGUUCUUGGGUAACCCAUAGUCGUGAGUGGGUCCAUUUGCAUGCUACUUAGUUGAAAAGUUGGACAAUUUGCUCCGACGCCUACCUCCUGGAUUCCAUGCUCGGUAAAACAAGAAUAAAAAAAAAUAUAUAAUUUACAAAUGGGGGAAAGAAAAAAUGUCGGAAAAAAUAGUAAAAUUCAUGUCACAUGCUAGUGAGAGAAGGGGUUGUUACACUCACUCGAAGUUCUUUUCAAAAUAUCGAAUGGUAUUUUACUUUAUGUGUCAGCGCAGUUGUGAAUGGAACGUGCAAAAGUCCAAAUUGGCGUUUUUAUUUUUCCCAUGUAGGAUGGUGACCUUUAAUAAAUAUUUAAAACAAAAGACGAAAAAAAAAAGGAGGGAAAAGGGAUCACAAAAGAUAAAAUAAUGUUUACAAAAGCUCAAUUAGUUUGCAAAUUACUGUUUGGAUUUUGAUAGUAUUUUAUUUGUCGUUCUAUAUUUGAUGUAAAAGAGAAUUUAAGAUAUUUCCGAAGCAAAAGCAUUAGUUUGCUCUGUGAUGUCCCACAUCGAAUAGGGGAGAAAGUUUCUGGCGCUAUAUAUGUAGAGGCUCCUCUUAACCAAGUAGAUGCGUUUUAAAACCAUGAGGGCCCCCUUAGGUCCAAAGCGGACAAUAUCUACAUGAUUGGGUGUAAGUCAUUACAAAUGGUAUCAGAGCCGAUCCCCGACCCCGGUGUGGGGGUUUGUUUGGCCCUGUAAGGGGUGUUUGUCUGUUUGACCCCACAAUCCCAUGGGACACAACGAGGACGUUGUGUCUGCAUGGGGGGGCGUUUGUGAUGUCCCACAUCGGAUAGGGGAGAAAGUUCCUAGUGCUAUAUAUGUAGAUGUUUCUCUUAACCAAGUAGAUGCAUUUUAAAAUUGUGAGGGCCUCUUUGGGCCCAAAGCGGACAAUAUCUACAUGGUUGAGUGUAAGUCAUUACAUGCUCCAUGUCAAUUUCAGCAUUUCUCAUAUGUUUCACACAUACACAGAAGAGCAUCGUUUUUUAAAGCAUGCAUUUAUGUUGGAUUAAUUUGGAUUUUGUGGGAACUGGGGCAAGGAUCACAUGGAAGAGAGGUUGACUUUUUUCAGUACUUCAAUGGUUGAAAUAUGUGAAGGCUUGAUUGAUACUAAAGCUUGAAAUUGCGACUCUGUCAUUUGUAAAAAAAUAUGACAGCUUCCAUGCUCUCGUUUGGUUGCAUUGUCCGGUCGAGAGGUGCAAAAAGCAUUCUCUCUCUUCUAAUAGUCUUUUCGUUUAAAUCAAGGGAUUUGCCUUCCCGGUCGAGGUCCAAUAGAGGGUAACGGUCACCUACUAAACAUUAAAUGCUCCAACAACUAGUGAACUGAUCGACCCCAGCUCGACUAGUUGAGGUUACUUUUUGGUUUUCUUGUCUCCCGAGGUUAGAAACCUAUAAAUAGAGAGCUUCACUUCAUUUAUGAGUAAGAGAACACCUAAAUUUAUUUGUUUACCUACUUGUUUUUGCCAUAAAAGCUCUCAUUUCUUUUCUUGGUGUAUUAAAUCUCCAUUUGCAUAUCCUUUAGUGCACCUUUGUGAUUCAUUCUAGCCUUGAGUUGUAUUUAAGCCUUUGUUGAGCUAGGUUGAGAGUUUCAUACUUGUUUAUUGAGUGUUAAAGCCUUCAAGUGAGUUAAAACUUGAAGAGAUUGUGUAAGAGCCCAUUGGAGUCGGAAUCCAAGUGUAAAGGUGAUUAAAAGCUUGGUUGAAGCUUCAAGUUAGUGGAACUCUCACUCGGUUAUGAGCUUGAGAAGAGUGGACAUAGACAAGGCAGUGUCGAACCACUAUAAAAUCUGAGUUUGAUUUCUCUAACCUUAUCUCUUUAUAUUUGCUUCUCUUGUGCUUAAAUUUUUUGUGUUUAAAAAGAAUUUUUAAAAACUCAAUUCACCCCCUUCUUGGGAGUUUUUCUCUUUUAAGAUCAGCUUUUAUUUUCUCAAUUGGUAUCAGAACUAUGCCUCUUGUUUAAGACUUAAUCGUCUAAGAGGAAAUGGCUAAUCCAUCAAGUUCAUCUCACAUUGAAAGUUUUGCAACCAAUAGACUUCUUUUUUUUUUUUUGCGGGAACUGAUUAUCCCUAUUGGAAAACUAAAAUGACUUGGUUUUUACAAUCAAUUGAUUUAGAUGUAUGAGAUGCCAUUGAAGAUGACCUAACUUUUCCUUCAAAACUAGUUGAUGGAGUCAUGGUUCCAAAACCUAAGCAAGAAUGGGAUGAGCGUGAUUGAAGAAAUUUUCAAUUAAAUGCUAAAGUCGUUUAUACUUUGCAAUGCUCUAUGGACAGAAAUGAAUAUAAUAGAAUAUGUCAAUGCAAAUCGGUUAAAGAAAUUUGGAGAUUGCUUGAAAUAACUCAUAAAGGAACAAAUCAAGUUAAAGAGUCAAAAAUCAAUUUACUUGUUCAUAGAUAUGAAUUGUUUUUUAUGAAAGAUAAUGAAACUAUUGUUAAGAUGAUCACUAGGUUCACCAACAUUGUUAAUGGUCUUAAAGCCUUGGGAAAGACCUACAAGGAAUCCGAAAACGUGAUGAAGAUCUUGAGGUCACUUCCAUCAAAGUGGCAUACCAAGGUCACCGCAAUUUAAGAAGCAAAAGACUUGAUCAAGCUACCUUUGGAGGAGUUCAUAGGGUCAUUGAUGACAUAUGAAAUCAAUUUGGCAAAGAAGUAACAAAAAGGUGAAGACAAAAAGAAGAAGAACAUAACUCUCAAAGCUACAACUAAGGAAGAAGAAGUUGAAGAAGAAAAACAAAUUGAAGAAGAUGAAGAUUUAGCCCUCAUCACAAGAAAGUUCAACAAAUUCAUGAGGGGUGAAAGGUUUAGAAGAAGAAGGUUCACUUCUAGAAGAGACUUUUCUAAAAAGGAAUCUUCAUCUAAUGGUGACAAAAAGAGAUGGGAAGAGAAAAGAGACUUGGUGUGUUUCAAGUGCAAGAAACCGGGACACAUUAAAUAUGAUUGUCCUCUCUACAAAAGUGAAGUCAAGAGGAAAAAGAAUAAGGCAAUGAUGGCCACUUAGAGUGAAAGUGAAGAUGAAUCAUCCGAAGAAGAAAAUGAGAAAGAAGUGGCAAACAUGUGUUUCAUGGCAAUAGAUGAACUUGAUGAGGUAAAAUCUAACCUUAGUGAUUAAGAUAUACAUGAUGCAUUUGAAGAAUUGUAUGAGGAUUUUUAAAAACUUAGUUUGAAAAAUAUUUCUCUUAAAAAGAAAGUUCAACAACUUGACAAAGAACUUAGAGAAGUAAAAGAAAAAUUUUCAAAUGUUAAAGUUUCUAAAACUCAUCUUGAAAAAGAAAAUGAGAUUCUAAGAAAGAAAAAUGAAUAGUUGAACUCCUCUCUUUCAAUCUUUUCUUCUAGACAAAAAUCUUUUGAAAUGAUUCUAACUAGCUAAAAAUGUGUUUUUGACAAACAAGGGUUAAGAUUUAAAUCUUCAAAAAAUCAAAAGUAUUUUAAAAACUAUUUUGUAAAGGAAUCCACAAGUGCAAGUCCUUCCACUACUUGCAACUUUUGUGGAAGAGAAUGGCACAUUAGUAGUACGCCCUUUAAGAAAUGGUUCUCAAAAGAAUUUAAAUGCAAAAACUAAAAAAGAUUUGGAUUGAGAAAUCCAAGGUCACUAACCCUCAAGGACCCAAAAAGAUAUAGGUACCUAAAUCAACUUGAGUUUUAUGUUGUAAGGUUCAAAGAAUGAUAAGUGGUUCUUAGAUAAUGGUUGCUCAAGACACAUGACCGGAGAUGAAUCCAAGUUUGCUUUUCUUAAAAAGAAAAAUGGAGGAUAUGUUACCUUUGGAGACAAUGCAAAAGAAAGGAUGAUUGGUCAAGGCAACAUUGGUAAUGGCACAUCCUCUCUCAUUGAAAGUGUUUUAUUAGUAGAUGGUUUCAAACAUAACCUUUUAAGCAUUAGUCAAUUUUGCGACAAAGGUUUUUAAGUGAUUUUUUAAGCAUCUCAUUGCAUCAUCAAGGAUAUUCAAAAUGAUAAAACCAUUUUCAUGGGCCAUAGAUGUGAUAAUGUUUAUGCUAUAAAUAUUUCAAAAUAUGAUGGCCAUGAUAGAUGUUUUUCAAGCAUGCAUGAUCAAAGUUGGUUGUGCCAUAGGAGAUUGAGACAUGCUAACAUAGACCUCAUUUCCCAACUCAACAAAGAUGAACUUGUUAGAGGCCUUCCCAAAAUAAUUUUUUAAAAAGAUAAAGUUUGUGAAGCUUGUCAAGUGGGAAAGUAAAUCAAAAACUCUUUUAAAAACAAAAACUUCAUUUCCACAUCUAGGCCACUUGAGUUGUUGCAUAUGGAUUUAUUUGGUCCCUCUAGGACACCAAGUCUUAGAGGAAAUUCUUAUGCAUAUGCUAUUGUGGACGACUUCUCUAGAUACACAUGAGUCUUGUUUUUUAGUCAAAAGAAUAAAGUUUUUUAUGAGUUUUCAAAGUUUUGCAAUAAGAUUCAAAAUGAAAAAGGUUUUUCAAUUACUUAUAUAAGAAGUGAUCAUGGGAGAGAAUUCGAAAAUAUUGAUUUUGAAGAGUAUUGCAAUGAGCAUGGAAUUGACCACAAUUUUUUGGCUCUUAGAACUCCUCAACAAAAUGGGGUAGUUGAAAGGAAAAAUAGAACUCUUCAAAAAAUGACAAGAACCAUACUAAAUGAAAACAACUUACCAAAAUAUUUUUAGGCCAAAACGGUUAACACUUCUUGUUAUGUUUUAAAUAGAGUAUUAUUGAGGCUCAUACUUAAGAAAACUCCCUAUGAGCUUUGGAAAAACAAAAAACCCAACAUUAGUUAUUCCAAAGUCUUUGGAUGCAAUAUUUUAUAAUAAACACCAAAGACAAUCUUGGAAAAUUUGAUGCAAAAUUGGAUGUUGGAAUUUUCCUUGGUUACUCAACUUCAAGUAAAGCUUUUCGAGUUUUAACAAAAGAACCAUGGUUGUAGAGGAGUCCAUCCAUGUUAUUUUUUAUGAAUCUCCAAGAAAGAGAGAGGAUUGAUGAUGAUUUAGGUUUGAAGACCUCUAUAGGAAGAUUGCAAAUCGAAGAUAGAAGACAACAAGAAGAAAAUGGAGAGAAUCCAAAGAAAGAAGGAUCACCAUUGGCACUACCCCCUCAUCAACAAGCGCAAGGUGAAUCAAGUCAAGAGCUUCCUAAAGAAUGGAAGUUUGUCAUCAAUCACCCACAAGAUCAAAUUAUAGGCAAUCCAUCUAGUGGGGUAAGAACUAGAUCCUCUCUUAGAAAUAUUUGCAAUAAUCUAGCUUUUAUCUCUCAAAUUGAGCCUAAAAAUAUAAAUGAUGUUUUAGAUGAUGAAAAUUGGAUAAUUGCAAUGCAAGAAGAGUUAAAUCCAUUUGAAAGAAGUGGAGUAUGGGAAUUAGUACCAAGACCUUCAAAUCAAAGUGUUAUUGGAACUAGAUGGAUCUUUAGAAAUAAAAUGGAUGAAAAUAGCAUAAUUGUUAGAAAUAAAGCAAGAUUGGUAGCCCAAGGUUUUAAUCAAGAAGAAAUGAUAGAUUAUGAAGAAACCUUUGCCCCCGUAGCUAGGUUGGAAGCCAUUAGGAUGCUACUUGCCUUUGCAUGUUUUAAAGACUUUGUUUUAUAUCAAAUGGAUGUGAAAAGUGCUUUUUUAAAUGGUUUUAUAAAUGAAGAAGUAUAUGUUGAACAACCACCCGGUUUUCAAAGUUUCAACUUUCCUAACCAUGUUUUUAAACUUAAAAAGACACUUUAUGGUUUGAAACAAGCACCUAGAUCAUGGUAUGAAAAAUUGAGUAAAUUUCUUUUGAAAAAAAUGUUUUAAAAUGGGAAAAAUUGACACAACUCUUUUUAUAAAAACCAAAGAAAAUGAUAUGCUCUUAGUUCAAAUAUAUAUUGAUGAUAUCAUUUUUGGUGCUACUAAUGUCUCUCUUUAUGAAGAAUUUUCUAAGUGCAUGCAUAGUGAGUUUGAAAUGAGCAUGAUAGGAGAACUCAACUUCUUCCUUGGACUUCAAAUCAAGCAACUAAAGGAAUGAACCUUCAUCAAUCAAGCAAAGUAUAUAAGAGAUCUUCUCAAAAGGUUCAACAUGGAAGAAGCCAAAACAAUGAAGACUCUAAUGAGCUCAUCCAUUAAGCUUGAUAAGGAUGAGAAAGGUAAAUCCAUUGACUCUAUUAUGUAUAGAGGCAUGAUAGGUUCUUUGCUCUAUUUGACCACUAGUAGACCUUACAUUAUGUAUAGUGUGUGUUUGUGUACUAGAUUUCAAUCUUGUCUUAAAAAAUCUCACUUAAGUGUCGUGAAAAGAAUCCUCAAAUAUUUGAAAGGGACAAUGGACAUAGGCUUAUGGUAUCCUAAGAGUGAUAACUUUGAAUUAAUUGGUUUUUUGGAUGCUGAUUUUGUCAGUUGUAGGGUUGAAAAAUAAAACACUAGUGGCACUUUUCAUUUCUUAAGACACUUACUUGUCUCAUGGCAUAAUAAGAAGCAAAAUUUGGUAGCUUUGUCAACAGCAGAAGCUAAAUACAUAGCAACUGGUUUAUGUUGUGCACAAAUCCUUUGGAUGAAAUAAACACUUAGUGAUUUUGAUUUAUCUUUUGAGCAUAUUCCUAUUAAAUGUGAUAAUAGUAGUGCCAUAAGUAUAUCAAAAAAUCUCGUGCAACACUCUAGGACUAAGCAUAUAGAGAUUAGACAUAAUUUUCUUAGAUAUCAUACACAAAAGGAUGAUAUAACACUUGAAUUUGUAAGCAUAAAAGACCAACUUGCCGAUAUCUUUACAAAACCUCUAAGAACAUUUUGUUGAUAUUAGAGGACAAUUAGGAGUGAUUUCUUUAUGAUCUAAUGUGAUGAAUUCUUGAUGAAUAUACUUUUUGAUUGCAUGAAUUUCAUGUCAUAUAUGCAUCAUAUAGAAAUAUACUUAGAUAAUGGUCAAAUUUCGACCAAAAAUCAAAAUUCCCAUGGCAUUAGGCAUAAAAAUUUUGGAAUUUCAACUGAAAAUGGUAGGAGGAGGAUCACAAAAUGAGAAAGUAUGCAAAAAUUGAAAAAUCAAAACGUUGACCAAGCGGUCAAUCGGACUAGACCGAUCGACUAGUUUGUCGAGAUUUAGGAUUUUUAAGAGACUCCAACGCUUCAAUUUUUGCACCGUUCUCCUCUAUUUCUUCACGGUUUCUCUGAUUUUGUCUUUUAGAGACUAAUUUGAGUGCGUUUUGGAUCAAUUGAAGCAUUUUGGAUUGGAUUUUAGGAAGAUUGAAAGUUAAGGUUUCGGAUUUGGGUCGCCUUCUCUUCCUCUCGCGUGUCACAAUCAGCUUUAGCAUUGUUCUCUUUCCAUUUUCACACACCUAGGGUUUCAGUUGUGAGCAUCUCUCUCUCUUUACCAACCACUACUCCCUUGCUUCUUCCAUAUGGCUCCUAGGCGAGAGUCCGCUACUUCUAGGGCACAAGGCAAGCACCCAACUGAGUCGUCUCAGUCAAAGGCACGUCGAAAAGUGAGAUUUGACAUUGCCUUGUUCAGUUCCAUGGAGGACUACCAACUAUACAAGCAACACUUUGCUUAGAGACGAGUAGUUCCCAAGAGAAAUAUUAAUUUUCCUCAACUUCAGCAUUUCGAAUUUAAGGGUCUAUUUACUAGGAUGGUUGGUUGUCUAUUGUCACAAUUUCGGAGCCGGUUUUCCUGACCUUAGUGCGAGUUUUUUACUCGAGGGCGACUUAUGGCAUGGGUGGCAUGAUCAUUUCUACUGUUGGAGGAGUUGAGAUCUGUCUGGACCCAGAGAGCAUCUGCCAUAUUUUCGAUAUUGCUCUGGUUGGACUCAAAGUAUACAAGUCCAAAAUGUGGCCCAUUGUGCCAGGAUUUGAGCUUAGAGAGGUCAUUCAGAGGAUUUGUGAACUUCCAGACGCCCAGGAGAUGGGCAAACCAUUGCCACACAGUUUGACGGUCAUCAACAGGGUGCUACACCAUAUAUUGUGCUCUAUCUUUCUACCACGAAGUGGACAUUGAGAUGAGGUCUCUUAUUAUGAGGCAUUCCUUAUUGACUCCAUUCUAACGGAGAGACGAAUUCAUCUACUAUGUCAUCAUUCACUAAGCCUCCUCACAGUGACAUACCACCUCAUCAGGCACCUCUUGCUCCUGACCAUGCUCCAUUGAUGGAUUUAUUUACUCAUAUUAGCUCUCUAGGCACUCGCAUGAAGGAGUUUGUUGUAGUUAGUGAUACAUGGUUCUACUCCAUAGAGGAUCGCAUGGAUCAGUAUCAGACUGGCUUCACGUCACAGUUUGAGUAUCUCCAAUAGAGGAUUGAGCAUAUUGAGGAUCACUUGAGCAUGAGAAGAUGAUGGCUUUUCUAUGCUCUGUGUUUCCACCUCCACCUCGUCAACCUUGAUUUCUUAGAGACCCAUUGUUUUCAUUUUGUAAUGUUGCCAAAAGGGGGAGAUAUUUAGGAUCUAGGACUCUAUAGGAGACUUACAUGCAUAUCAUUUUCAUAUCAUUGUUUGGAUCGUACAUAUUGGAUAGUGAUACUUUUUACUUAUAUAUGAUAUGCCUAUAUGUUUCAUGUCUUACAUUGUUUCUUAUUGCAAAUUAUCUCUAACAUGUCUUGAUUAUCUUUUUUUUAACUUCAUAAAUUUUGAUUGUUAACCCAUGAUUGGUUUGAGGGGAAGAUUCUUCUUCUCCUAGAUAACCAAGGUUUGUCAUCAUAAAAAAAUUGGAGAUUGUUAGCCCAAGGGUUCUCCUAAUCAUGUUUUGAUGAUAACAAACCAUGCUUAAGUUACUAAUUGGUUUGAAUUAUAAAGAAUUUCAAGUGUUAAUUUGAAAAUUCAUCAAAGAACCUAAUGGAUGCAAGAUCAAGAUUUUUGGAAGACCUUUAAUCAUAAGAAACAUAUGUAAGAUGAAUGCAUGGGUGCACUUAAGAUUUGCAUAUCAUUUCAUGCAUAUUUGGAAAACACGGUUUAUGCUUUAAAGUUACAUUUCCAUCAAAAUUUGAGAUCCAUCAAAUGAACCUUAGGAAAAAUGUUUUAAAAUUGGCAUAUAAUUUUACCUAAAGACCUUGCCUAAGUGUUAGAAGCAAAAGGACAAAAAAAAUAUAGGUUUUCUGGUCAAAAAUGGUGAACCAGUCAAGGCAUUGUCUAAAUCAGCUCAAUCGGCCAAGGUACCGGUCGAUCGGUUUCCCUUUCCCUGUCGAGAUCUAGUCAAGAGGUACAAAAAUCACAAUCUCUGUCUCUUUCUCUCUUUGUCUAUCUUCCAGUAGUCUUUCCUUCCCGGUCGAGGGAUUUGCCUUCCCGAUUGAGGUCCGAUUGAGAGUAAUAGUCACUUGCCAAAUAUUAAAUGCUCCAACAGUUAGUGAACUGGUCGACCCCCACCUUGCCCAGUUGAGGUUACUUUUUGGUUUUCUUGGCUCCCGAUGUUAGAAACCUAUAAAUAGAGAGUUCCACUUCAUUUAUGAGCAAGAGAACACUUGCAUUUAUUUGUUUACCUACUUGUUCUUGCCUUAAAAGCUCUCAUUUCUUUUCUUGGUGCAUUAAAUCUCCAUUUUGAUAUCCUUUAGUGCACCUUUGUGAUUCAUCUUAGCCUUGAGUUGUAUUUGAGCCCUUUUUUUAGCUAGGUUGAGAGUUUCAUACUUGUUAAUUGAGUGUUAAAGCCUUCAAGUGAGUUGAAACUUGUAGAGAUUAUGUGAGAGUCGAUUGGAGCCGAAAUCCAAGUGUAAAGGUGAUUAGAAGCUUGGUUGAAGCUUCAAGUUAGUGGAAUCCUCACUCAAUUAGGAGCUUGAGGAGAGUGGACGUAGCCAAGGAAGUGUCGAACCACUAUAAAAUUUGAGUUUGAUUUCUCUAACAUUGUCUCUUUAUAUUUGUUUAUCUUGUGCUUAAAUUUAUUGUGUUUAAAAAGAAUUUUUAAAUACCCAAUUCACCCCCCUCUUGGGUGUUUUUCUCUUUUAAAAUUAGCCUUUAUUUUCUCACAAACUAUUGUAGUAUAGUGGUUUUUAGGUGUCAUCCAUUAGGAUGAAUUGUUCUCGGUAAUUAAGGCGUGAAUGAGAGGAGAAUUAAUGAUUGUGAUUAAGUAAAAUUGAUUUGAAAAUUCAUGGUGAAAAAUCAAUUUAACAAUGGUUUCUAAUUGAGAAAAACAAUGAAAUGUGAAAUAAAAUAAAAUUAAUAGGAAAUGAAAUUCUCGAAGUUAGAAUUUUCUAAAAAACAAAUUCCAUGGUGAAUGGAUGUUGAGAUCUAAUUUUCAUCAAGUUAGAUUGAAAACCGAAAUUUUCAUAUAAACUGAUUUUUUAUUUAGUUUUAGGUCUAGAUUUAAUUUCCCUUAAAAUUAGGUUAUUUAAUCCAAGAAAUCAAUUCAAAUCAUAUAUUCAAUUCAUCUUAAAUUAUCUUCCAAUUAUUCACACAAUGCAACUAUUCAAUCUCAUCAAAUCUAGCUUUUAAGAAUUUAAUGAAUCUACCUAGUUUGCAUUGUAAUAGUCAUCCAUGACAAUUUGAAGAGAAAAAUAAUUCAAUUAAUCAAUCACUUGGAUCAAAUUACCUUUGCAAUUAAAGUUCAUUUCUCUAAUUCACCACAGAUUUUGUCUCUAGAUCCUCCUUUCUCAAAGAAAAAUGAGAUUUAGCCACACAUGAUUGGAGAUUUGGUCUCAUAAGGCAUGUUUAGCUAGUGAUAAAAUGAGAGAAAAUAAAGAAAAAUAGAGAAUUCGAUUAAGAAAGAAAAUCUAAAAAAUUCUACAAUUAGAAAUGUCCAAAAAGCUUUUUCAUGAGAAAAUCAAGUUUCUAUUUAUAGGCCAAGGUCAAGUGGACACUUGACAUCAUCUAAGAGGUCUUCCGGAAGCUUCUUCAUCAAGAAAUCUGGAGUUUAAUAAUAAAAUGGUCAUUUCACAAGAGCUCAAACAAUUUCGCAUGAUUAUGUGAAAUAAAAAAUGCAACAACAGCAAUUUACAUCUUCUUGGAGCAUUUCGCAUGACUGUGUGAAAUUUUCACAUGAUCAUGUGGAAUCGACUUGACAACUCUCAUUUAGCCUACAACAUAAUUCCACCUUUUGGUCCAUUUUUCAUAGUCAUGCGAAAUGGAAAUAUUUGAUUUUUAAGUUUUCUUUUGUCAUUUCUUUCAUUUCCUUCUCUUGAUUCCACUUCAACUACCUCCGAAUCCUGGUCCAAACCAAUUGCAUUACUUCUUUCAUUAUGCAUUUGGAUCAUCAUCAACAUUAUUUGUUCUCUUCAAUUUGAUUCAUCUCUUUUGUCACCAAUUUAUCAAAAUCAUACCUUGAAAUGACUCCAAAACUUCAUAAAACUUGUUAGUAACUCUUGCAAGGGCAACAACAUAUUAAUUAAGUGUUUUAGGCAUAGUUACUACUCAAAAGAUGCGAAACUCAUGAUAAUUAUUAUAUAAAAUAUGCUCUUUUUGAGUAGUAAUCAACUUUCUUGCAUAAGCAGACCUUUUAGGGUGGAGUACUAAAGACCAAUAUGCUUGUCCUUGUUGUAAUAAAGAAACUUGCUCUUAUUGAUUGCACCAUGGGAGAAAAUUUUGCUACAUGAGUUAUCAUCAAUUUCUUCCCACCAAUCAUAGAUUUAGACGUGACAAGAGGCCUCUUAAUGGCAAGGAGGAACUGACACUCACACUUAUACAAUUAUCGGGCAUUGAUGUGUUGCAACAAUUAGAAUAACUUACACCAAUUAUGUUGGGGAAGUCACAAAAGGCAAACAUGAAAACUAAAAGGAAAAAAGAAAAAUGUUACAUAUCACCACAACUGGAAAGAAAAAAGUAUUUACUUUCAUUUGCCAUAUUGGAAAGCACUUAUUUUACAUCAUAAUAAUUUAGACAUAAUGCAUAUUGAGAAAAAUGUGUGACAAUAUAAUUGAGACAUUGUUCAGUAUUGACGAAGAAACAAGGACAACCUAAAUAGUCAUCUCGAUUUACAAGCUCUAACUAUUAGAAAUGAGAUUCACCCAAUAGAAAGCAGGACCAAAUUUAUUUUGCUUGCAACAUGCUACUCACUCACCCCAAAUGAGAUUAAGGAAUUUUGCAAGUUUUUGAAAUCAAUAAAGGUCCCCAAUGGCUAUUCUUUCAAUAUCUCUCGUUAUGUGCAACUCAAUGAAAGGAAGAUAUAUGAGCUCAAAUUGUAUGAUUGUCAUGUCCUAAUGCAACAACUUCUCUCACUUGUAGUUCGUGGAGUUCUACAUAAGAAUGUUUGUGGAGUUAUCAUAGAAUUGCGUAAUUUUUUCAAGCAAUUGUGCUCAAAGGUGUUAGAAACAAAUCACUUACACCAACUUGAGAACAAUAUUAUUGUCAUACUAUGUAAAAUGGAGCAAAUAUUUCUUCCAUCAUUCUUUGAUAUUAUGGUGCAUUUACUUGUGCAUCUAGUAAGGCAAAGGUUGCAAGACUUGUGCAAUAUUGUUGGAUGUACCUAAUUGAACGAUAUUGUUAUAAUUUCAUAUGAAUCAUUUAAUUUUAUUUUAUAUUAUGUUCAGUUCAUUAACAUGUACAUUGGUCUACAUAUGGAUGAUGAUAGGUACCUAAGCACUUUAAAGUCAUAUGUGCGUAAUAGAACUUUUCUAGAAGGUUCUAUUGUAGAAAGGUACCUUGCAAAAGAAUGUACAACAUUUUAUUCUAGGUACUUGAAUGAUGUGGAAAUAAAGUAUAAUCACAAUGAUAGAAACUUUGUUGGUUUCAACACUAGAGGAGAUGAAAGGGGUUAUCUUUAAACAUAUUGGACAUGCAUUGGGAAAGCCCAUAUUUCAUUAACUUAGUUCAAAAGAGUGGUCACAAGCACAUUUAUAUGUGUUGACAAAUUGCGAAGAUGUCAUACCAUUCAUUGAGUAAAAAAUUUAUUUGAAUUUUAAUUAAAGCUCUAGUUUAUAUCCUUAAUCAAUGUUUUUUAAAUUCACAAGGAGCACAAGCAAACCAUCAAGGCUAGACCACAUAUACGUGUUUGAGACGUAGAUUUAAUUCAUAACAAGGAAUUUAUCAAGUGGUUUGAAAGACAUGUAAGUAUAUUCCUUAUUAUAAGGGAUUUAUUUCACAUUAUGUUUAUAUUGAAUCCAAACCUAUUAUUGAAUUGUAGGUUGAACAAUUACAUAAUGAAGGUCAUAUAUCUGAACACCUUCUCACAUUAUCAUGUGUUCCAAAUUCAUUAGUUACAUGCUUCAAAUGAUAUAUUGUCAAUGGAUUUAGAUCCCACAUUAAAGAACGUGAUAAAAAAGUUUUUAAAAAAAGACUCAGAAUAAUGGAAUUGUUGUAGUUGCAAAAACGUCAAGCUUUACAAGUGCAUGUGAUAUGAGUCCAAUUAUUAGUGAUGCUCUCUACUAUGGUGUUCUAACUAAAGUUGUUGAGUUACAUUAUCUUGGUGAAAAUAAGGUUGUUUUAUUCGAGUUUGAUUGGUGGGAUGUUACAAAUAUUGGAAAAUUGAUAAAAGAUGAUGAGUACAAUUACACAUUUGUUAACUUUGCAUGAAUUCUAACCACGAACGAACGAUUUGUACUUGCAUCUCCAGCAAAGUAAGUGUUCUAUGUGAAGAAUGCGAAUGAAUCAGAUUGGCAUACUAUCAUGGAGAUGCAACCUCAAGACCUCUAUAAGAUGAACGGGAUAGGAUCCAAUGGUGAUUUUGAACCAUUUCAACAAAGUGAACUACAUGAUCACUAAUAUAUCUCAGAUUUAGUUGAUGAAGAUAUAAUCAAGUGGAACAAAAGUGAUGUUUUAGGACUAAUCAUCCUAAAAAAUAUUGUAGUUUCUUAAAAAAAAAAUGAAAAUGAAGAAGAUAAUUGAACCUUUGUCAUACUUUAAAAAGCAACUAUGCAUUGUUCAUUUUGUAUGUUUUGGUUUUCUUCAUUUAAUUUCCUGAUUUUUGUGAUUCAAUGUCAUAUUAUUGAUCUUGAAAUAUUUUUCUAAUUUUUCAUUCUACGAUGGUUUCAACAAGGAUGACAUCAAGUCAAAAAAGGAAAUGUGGUCCCACACACAAUAUUGCAUUACAGGGAUUAAGGUCAGGGAAGAAGGUAAAAGUUGCAUUUAAUGAGUACAAUCAAUUGGUUAAACAGAAAAAUGGAAAACACUUAUCGAGCUACAUAGGGACACUUGUAUCUAACCAACACAAUGUACCUCUCCAAGCUAGUGAUUGGAAAAAUGUUCCAAAUGAUGCAAAAGAGAAAGUAUGGCCUUUGUUUUGGUAUGUUGUAUUUCUCACUAUAUGAUGUCAUUUCACUGUUAUUCUAUUUUGUGACUAACGUUUGAAUCAUAUGUAAGAAAAAUUUGAAGUAGAUAAAGACUGAAAAGAUUACAUGUUGGGUAUAGCCUCAAAUAAAUAUAGAAGCUAUAAAAAUAUGAUGAAUGCAAAAUACUAUGACCCUUGGCAUAAGGAUGCAUGAGGAGAGGUUAAUACAUAAAUCACCAUUUGUCUCUGAUGUUGAUUGGAAGUGGCUUGUCUCUGAUGCAUAAACCAAAUCCCCCACUGAAUGUUUGAUAUUUGAUAGCAGGAAAAACACACCCGCAGCUAUACACCUCCAUCAUUCAGAUAAUUAUAGUGGGGGAGAUGAUUCAUGGUUGCCCUUAUACCCUUUAUUUGCACCAUCUAUUGAGAUUCUUUAUCAUGGCCAGGUUUUACUGCAGCAAUAAGAUAUGGUGGCAACAAUUUUAUCUAUAGGUGCGGUUCCAGACCGCCUCCAUAGGUGCGGUUCCUGACUGCCUCCAUAGGUGCCUCUUCUUGUAAUGUUUGUUCUGGGAAUUACACUUGAAAGCCUUAUCGUGAUAAGGGAUUACAAACACUAGUUCAGAGGACAGCCAUGUUAAACUUCCACUAUGUUUGUGUCACAUUAUCAGCAGCCUAGUGUUUAUUGGUCAUGCUAUCUGCAACUAAUAUAACCCGGUGAACUUCAAUCUAAAUUCUGAAAGUACUCAUGUGACAGAUGGUGCCUUUCAGCAGAUAUCAUCAAUUUAAAAGUAGUGUGUGUGCCUAUAGGUGGGAAGGCCUUGGCAAAUGUUCAGUAUUCCGGUAAUUCAAGAAGGAUAUAUCUAAAAUAGAUUUUCUUCUUGCCCAUUUCAAUAGUUAAAAUUUGAGAAGAUUGUGUCCACAUCACACAAAUAUUAUUGGUCCUUCUGUUGCAAUUUACCUCUGAACAUGUCUUCCAAUUCCCACGGUCCUGUUACUCCAGGAAAACUAUUUCGGUCAUAUUGAAAAAAAAAAUAUUAAAGAAGGUACACAUGCUUUUAAGUGGACUGGGGCAUUCAUAUCAGGUGGUCUGUAUCCACAUAUGCCACUUCGUGAAAGGUGGAACAGCCUAAUCACUAGGCUAUUUAGUGUGGCCCAGCCACGUUAAUCAAGCACAAGUCUUCAUACUUAAAGUCAAAUGGUGUCUUUAGUCUCAUUACACAUCGCUAUUUGAAGAUUAACUCAUCACUAGUGUAAUGCGAUUAAGACAGUCCUAACUCAAUAUUUGUUCUAGUUUUGGAUGCAAAUGCUUGCUGGUUUCAUCAUUGGAUGGGAUAAAGGUGCAAUCAGGACUAUGAAUACGUGCAGUAAUACUUCAUUCUCUUUUUUCUCAAUGAGACUUCUUGGCACAAUUUUGCUGCUCAGCAACCUACCUUUCCAUGGAAAAUCAGUUGUGACUGAUAGUAAUGGAUAUAUUCUAGAAAGCUAAACAUAGAUAGCAUUCAAUAUUAUCGAUAUAACAUUAACAGCGUAUGUCUCAAUGCUCAUCAGCUACAAGCAAUGGACAAACACUUUGAGUAACUCACAGCAGUCAAAAUUCCUAAACAGGACAGACGUGACAGAUCUAUAUAUAGAACACUGCAUAUGAGUCACAGGAAAAGAUAAUACGGGUACAUAGAAGCUCUUAUUUUACAUAUUACUCAUACUGAUCAAAGUCGCUCAGUUGGGAUGGAUGGGAGAAGGAGGUUUGAGGGGUGGCUUGUGCGGGGAAGUUGGCAGCUUCUUUCCGGGAGCUGGUUGCUUCUUUGCUGGAGUUGAAGGAGGCUUAAUCUUCCGAGGUGGCUUGUAUGAGUCUUCAGCAUUCUCAGCAGGAGGGUGACCAGGGUUGUGACCAUAAUGUGGUGGCUUCUCUCCCUUAGGUGGUUUGCCAACUGGGGUUGGUGGCUUGUUUUCUGGGAGUGGCUUCUCUCCCUUGGGUGGUUUGCCAACUGGGGUUGGUGGCUUGUGUUCUGGGAGUGGCUUCUCCCCCUUGGGAGGUUUUUCGAAUGGGGUGGGUUUGUGUCCUGGUGGUGGCUUCUCUCCCUUGGGAGGUUUACCAAUUGGGGUCGGUGGCUUGUGUUCUGGGAGGGGCUUCUCUCCCUGGGGAGGUUUAGUGGGUGGCUUGUGUUCUGGAGGUGGCUUCUCCACCGGAGGCUUAUGCUCUGGUGGUGGCUUCUCGAAGGGGGGAUGCUCAGGGUAAUCACCAAGUGAGGGGGUGGUGAGAACCACCAUGCCAAGCAACAACACUAGCAAGUAUGUAGUAGACAUCUUUGGGUUUGGACUCAGACAGUGCAAAACUACGAGAAAUCGCUAGCCCUUUAUAGCGGCUCGGACCUAAUACUGACAUAAUAUAAAAUAAAUAUUAUAUUUUAUCAAGAGAGAACAGAGUGUAAUUUUAUCAUUAAUACCGAUCGAGGCCAAAGAAAGAAGACCCAUAAUCCAUUUCCCACAAGCAUACACAAUGCAGCUGUAAUUUUAUCAUUUACUUUUAUCCCUUGGACCACUGCAUUUUUGUUGAGAGACACAAUAACACAUUUUUAUCUGUCAUUCAACAUUUACAGUAAAGAGAGGGCACAAAACGCAAUUAGAUAAAUUAUGUUUUGCCUGCUAAAAAGAGGCAAAUAACUUUAUUUGCAACAUAAUUAUUUUGGUUUCUAGUGACCCCGGGGCCUUUCGGUUGGUUUGGGAUCGGAAAAUGAACAUCAUAGGGGGGGUUGUGCCCUUAUGGGCAUAUAUAUCUGAUAGCUUCAACUGGCCUUGUUCCUAGAAAGAAAUUGCCAAAGAUAUAAACUUAUUCCAGGCUGAAAGUAGAUGAGAGUCAUAAUGAACAUCAACCUUUGUUCAGUUUGAUUCAAUGCCCCCAUAGUGUUCAUUUCACAGAUCUGAAUGAUUAUAUCCGUUGAAUACAUAAAUUAAUGAAGACAAAUAUGAAACCCAAGAUACAUCUCUGCAUAACAACCCCAACCCUGGUUGCUAUGUUUCCCUUCUUCUAUUCACAUGAGGAUACUGGUUAUAAUUGUCAAACUUGCAACAAGCCCUUUGACACCUAACGUCAAUGGACGAAUUAAAAGUCUCCUUCAAACGUCUAUUUCACAGCAUGAAGCUUAUAAAGGAUGCUGACAACCUUCAGAGUUAGCGACAAAAGAUAAUUAUCAAGGAGAGAUAGUUCCAUGAGAAUUCCAAGGAGUCUGAAUCAAAGACAAAUUGCUCACUCAAGGGUUCUUAUUUUCUUUUAGGUACAAAUCUCUUGAGUGUUGUUAAAGAAACACGUCACUGUCAUUUUGAUUUGCAUUUAACAUUUCACUUUUGUUCUGGAAGGUUUGUUCCGGAAACAUAUCAAAUGAGCAUCAUUUUCUUCUUCGGUGACACAUGGUCGCGAGUACGUGGGUCCAUUUUCAUGCCACUUAGUUGAAAAGUUGGAAAGAAAAAACAUGCCAACAAGAAGAUAGUGAGAGAAGGGGCACUUCAAGCCUUUAACAUGAACAAACAGUAAAUAAAAGAUGUUUCUCCACUCAUAAAAGUGUGUUAGAUAGCAAUAUAACGAAUCACAUCCAAAAUCUUUACUAGGCUCAAACAUAAAGAAGACUCAUUUUUAAGAAAAGAUAAAAAUGGCAUUGUCUGAUAGUAUCCAAUACACGAGAUGGCACUUAAUUUGUACAAGAUCUGUCAAUGCUGACGCACAUUUUCUGAUUAAAAAAAAACUGAUCAGUCAAAAGCAAUGAAGAGAAGUGAUGACAAUGAAUGAUGCUUCCAAUAUUUUCACCCCUUAUAGUGUUCUUCAUGAUUCAGAUAUAUAAUUGGAAAUAGAACAACCCUAUGCCAUACAUUCGUCUAAGUAUGGUGUCUAAUUUUUUGUGUCAGCGGUUGCGAAUGGAGCGUGCAAAAGUCCAAAUUGGCGUCUCUCCAUUUCCACAUAGGAAGGUGACCUUUAUUGACAAAUACCCAAUAUUUGUAGACAUUCCUUAAAUAUCAUAACUUCUUGUUGAUUUGAAAAUCAUUUUUCAACUACCAUGUUUUAAUAAAUAUUUUUUAAAAUGUAUUUUUAUCAAAGUCCACCAUGAUGGAUAAUAUUCACCAUGCAAUAAUUAAUAAAGUACAAACUAAGCGAAAUGAAAAGCAUUUUCUUUGCUUUGAGUUGAUUUUGGUUGCAUUGAGUUGAUUUUGGUUUCAUGGUUUUUUCAACUCUUAUUUUGAUUGGAAGAUGUCAAGAAAAGAAAACAUAAAGAAAAAUUAAAAGGGAAAAAAGAAGAAAAAUAAAAAAAAAUAGAUUUAAAAGUUAAUAAAUUAUUUUUUAUAUUUAUUUUAAUUCAUUUCACUUAUUUUUCUUUUACUAUAUAAAAUUUAAAUAAUUUAAAUUUUAUAAUUAAUUUAAUUACAUUUCAUUUUCUUCUAUAUUUAAAUAUUGGAAAAAUAUUUUACUUAAUAUUUUUUUCUUUAAUUUCUUUGGCAUUUUGGGAACCAAACUUAGCCUUUAAAAUAAAAAACAAAAAAAAAAUGAAAAUAAGGAGGGAAAAGUGAGAAAAGAUAAAAACAAUAUGUAAAGGAUUUGAAAAGUAUUAGUUUGUAAUUACUAUUUGGAUUUCAAUAGUAUUUUAUUUGUCUUUCUAUAUUUCAUGUAAGAGAGAAUUUAAGAUAUUCCCCAAGGCAAAGCAUUAGUUACCUGCAAUCAGUGGUGAUAAGGCUCCAAGCCAAUUUUGGGCCCCAUAUCUUAAGACAGUACAAUUUCCAUUUCAACAUUUCUGAUUUCUCAGAUGUUUCACAUACCACAGAAGAACAUUGUUUGUGAAAAUAUGCAUUUAUGUUGGAUUUUGUAUGCUGUGGGGACUGGGGCAAGGAUCAUAUGGAAGAGUGGUUGACUUUUUCUGUACUUUAACGGUUGAAAUAGGAUAAGCACGGGCAUUUGUGAGGCUUAAUUGAUUUUGAAGCCUGAAAUUGCGUUUCUGUCAUUUUGUCAAAAAAAUGGCAGAUUCCAUACUCAUAUGUUUGGCCUGUGGCCAUGUACAGAUGCCAUUUAGUGACCAGUUUGUAACUGUCAAUCGUUGCGUUUUGACUCUGCCUCAACAACAUCUGCCAUUGACGGGUUUUCAUACUUGCAAAUCAAAUAGUCUUUCGUCCCAUCAGGAAUUUCGGUUUAAAUAUUAUUAAGCAUACGUUUGGCUGACAAUCAUUAUCCAGUUCAUGAUUUGGUUUCUUACCCUUAAUCAAUGGUUUCUAAGUGAAUAUAUGUAGAAGGAAAUCCGAAGUGUAGACAGUAGUAUCGAUAACUCUCAAUAUUCUCUAUAUAAUAGAAUAAACAGCGUCAUAGUGAUCGUCGCCUACAAGCAAGGUACAAAUACCAAAACGAGUGACUCACAUAGACAUCUCCCAACAAGAUGUAGUAGUGACUGACACAUGGACACAAUUAACUCGUAGAAAAGGAUAAGACCAUUGCACAGCAGCUCUUAUUUUACAUACUACUUAUGCUAACCAAAGUCAAUUAGUUGGGAUGGGUGGGAGAUGGAGGUUUGUGCGGUGGCUUGUGGGGCGGAGUUGAUGGCUUCUUUCCAGGAGCUUCUGGCUUUUUCAUCGGAGCUGAAGGAGGCUCAAUCUUAUGAGGCGGCUUGUAUGAGUCUUCUUUACUCUCGACAGGAGGGUGGCCAGGGUUGUGAUCAUAAUGUGGUGGCUUCUCUCCCUUAGGUGGCUUGCCAACUGGGGUUGGUGGCUUGUGUUCAGGAAGUGGUUUCUCUCCCAUGGGAGGUUUAGCAAUUGGGGUUGGUGGCUUGUGUUCUGGGAGUGGCUUCUCUCCCUUGGGAGGUUUAGUAGGUGACUUGUGUUCUGGAGGUGGCUUCUCCACCGGAGGCUUGUGCUCCGGUGGUGGCUUCUUGGUUGGAGGGGGCUUGGGGUAAUCAGCAAGAGAUGGGGUGGUGAGAACCACCAGUCCAAGGAACAACACUAGCAAGUAUGUGGGAGACAUUUUUGAGUUUGGGCUGAUCAGAUGAUGCAAAACUAAAGCAUUACGUGACCUUUUAUAGCAUGUAGCUCCCAAUACCCACUAAGUAUUGUGGGGUCCAUUUGUGCCCUACGGGGUUGAAAACUUAGACAAUUGGGCAAGGACCCACCUGACUAUGGAGGACUAGUGAGGUGUGAUCAUAGCUUUAGGAUUUUUCUUCCUCUGCAGCCGUCGUGCCGUUGGCAUGAUUUUCUUAAUCUUAAAUAAAGGCAUAGUUAUAGAGUUGUUUAAUCUCUAAAUGGGAUUUUAUAUAUAUCUUCAGAUAGCCAUUAAUAUAUUUGAUGAAGAAAGAAAGACAAGUGCAUACAACAUGUAUACGACUAGCUUUCAUGGAGUUCAUUUAUGAUCAGUUUUCCUGUACAUGUAAACCAGGAUCAUAUAUAUGUUUCUGUUCCACAACUAUUUUGGAAUCUUGUUUAUCAGUUUUUAUCAUUAUAAUGUCACAUAGGCUGCCAACUUGGGCGCUAAAAGAACCAGUUGGGCUAGUUCGUUUCAGAAUUUCAAUGUGGAUUCAGGAAUUGUUUUGUAAGAUAUGCGAAAUAGUAGAGGGAUGAAUAGUGUUUCAUUAAUAAAAGUGUCCUGUAAAUUAGAAGGUGUCAUAGAAACUAUAAUCAAUAAAUAACUUUUUUUCCCCACGGGUGGUGUUUCUUGUGGGGAUCAGUGACUGGUUUAGGUUCACCCAAAAUGAGUUCAGACUAAAAUUGGUUUGAGUCAAUGCCGUGUCUCUUUUUUCCAGAAAUCAACUAUUUUAUGCAUUGAAUAAAUCAUACAAAGAAAAUAUGAACGCCCGCAAAACCUAAACCCUGGUUGCUAACUUUCUAUGUUUCAGUUCUAUUCACGCAAGAAUAUUAGUUUAAGUUUGGGAAAAAUGGCAACUUACCUAGUGAUUACUUGGUUUUGGUUUGCGACUAUUUACGCAACCAACCAUGAGUUUGACUUUAACGUCAUGGGUUGAAGCCUCCUACAGGAAGGGAGAAAGCUCCACAGCUAGCUCCAAAAGAGAAUUAUCACAUUGAUAGCUCCAGAGAUUCCCAAGGGGACUGAAUCAAAGACAAGUUCCUCACUUUUUCUUCUUUUGAGGCCAAAUAUGAACCAAGGAUCACACAACCUCAUUCAACUUCAUAAGUUUGAUUUCAUGCAGUUGAACACUGGGUGAAGGCCAUGACAAGAAUUGAUUCAAAAAUUCUAUCACUCUUUUAAGUAAUGGAAGAUUAUUAUCUCUGAUUGGCAUCACAACAGCACAUGCUCCUAGAUCUUUCUAGACACUCCAUGCAAUGAAAGCACAAUGGAUCUUGUAACGAUAGAAACUAAGCCAUGCUACAGUACUAGAUGAUGAGGUAAAACUAGUAGACACGGGUGGCAGCCUAUAUGGGAGGGACACAAGUCUAAUUGAUUUGCAUUUCAGCAUUAUAGAUAGGUAUGUUUUGGAAGAUUUGUUCUGGAAAUACCGCACCAAGUAGGAUUCUUUUUCUCUUUAGUGGGUCCACUUGCAUGCCAAUUAACGAGUUGAAAAGUAUGAGCACCUACCUCGUGCUCGUGGAACCGAAGGUCAGUGAAGUGGGGCUCCUUUUGGCCUCGUGUAAACUUGAUUCAGAAGUGAAGUUAAUAGUCUUCCAUUCAGAUGGAUACAUGGGAAUUUUUCUCUUUUAUUUAUUUAUUUAUUUUUUUUUUGUGUGUGUAUGUCAAAGGAUAAUGAAUGAAGCGCGUUAGCUUGUUUUCUGACUGGAACCGCAGAUGUCCAAAUUGGAGUUCCUUCAUUUCUUACUUAGGAUUGUUACAUGUAUAAACAAGGUAUAAGAAAUAUGCCAACGUGUCUUGAGGAGUUAUUGAUUAGAAAUAACAAGUCACCCGACUGUAGAGUUCCAAGAUUUGAAUCUUCAGACCCUAUAGCAGCCUCUGGGGUACGUGGCAUCCUAUAGCAUAUUAAUGAAGGCUUUUUCGAUUUAGACUUCACAAUACCAAUUAAUAUGUAUGCACAAAAUGGAGAUGACCCCAAAAAAAACAGAAUCGCCAUAGUUUAUGAGGUUAAGGUGAUUCUCCACUUAAUAUCUACAUUAGCUAAUUAUGUAAAUCAAAUGAACUUCUAUUUUUCCUUUUUUUUUUUGGUUUAUGUCAAAUAGUAGCCCAUAAUUAACCCAACCAUUAGCCUGUUUGAAUUGAUUUCACAUGCACAAUGUUGUAGUAGUUCAUAUUUUGAAUUUUAUUUUUACAAAGGUAGUUAAGGAAAAUGAAGUAUAAUAAUUAUAAAAGCAGACUAUAUACACUACAAUAAUUGUUAGAAUGGUAUCUCAAAUUCUAAUUUAAAAUAUUAUUUUUUGUAAAAGAAAUAUUAUAUAGAAUAUUUCCUAAUUUUAUAAAUGAUUAUAAUUAGAUCUUUAUAAAAUAAGGAAAGUUGGUAAGAAUAUCUUUAUAAAUAUUUUAGGUCAUGAGAGAAAGAAAUGGGAUAAAAAUGUGAUGAAGAGGUGAAAUAAGAGAGUUGAUUAGGAUAUAGAUGUGAAGAAGAAAGGGAUUCAAUAUAUAUAUAUCUUUCAAUUACCACAUUAAAACCCUGUGAACCUUUUAUAUGGUUUACUUUAUUUUUAUAUUCCUCCUUUAAUAUAUUUACAUUAAUGCUUCCAUUGGCACAACAAUAACGAAUUACAAAUACAAGCAACAAGUCCCAUGUUUUAUUACCAAAAGCAGGUAAAAUCCACCUAAUAUAUUACAAUAUAUUCAUCCAAUAUUUUAGACCAAUUCUUCACCAUAAAUAUCAUAAUGUGGCUUUUGUUCUUUCUUAAAUUUAAAUUGAAUUGUCUUAUAUCAAUUUGUUUGUGAUUUUUUCAUUAACUUCACUUUCAUUUGGUUAUCUUUGGUUUUUGAAAAGUAUUAAGGAAUUAAUUAACAAAAUAAUGUUAAGAAAAAUAAUUUUCUCUCUUUUGAUUUUGAUUUUGUAGUAGAAAAAUAUAAUUAAAAUUAUUUAAAAAGUAUGUAAUUUUAAAUUAUUUAAUAUUUAGAUAAAAAAAAUAAGUCUAAUGAGUUUAAAAUAACAUAUAAAAAUAAUUUAUUUAUUUUAAAUUUAUUUUUUAUUUUCCAUUAUGUUCUCUUUCUCUUUUACUUUUUCAUAUUUUUUCUUACGAAGAAUCAAACACAACCUCAUAUUAUAUGUCAAGUGUUUGUCUAUAUUUGAGCAAUGUUAGAUACGGCCAUGGAUUCAUCAAACUAAACUGAUUUUAAUAGAUACUUCACAAAUUGAUUUAUACACUAAAUCAUUGGAUAGCAAUGAUGCAUUGGAAUUAAACGUAGGAUGAAGCUCGAAGAACACUGUUUGUGUAACAACAUAUUUAUGAAAUUAUGCAAAGGAUGAGCUUCGGGGUAGUAGUACAAGGUCAUUAAUGGAGAGCCGUGUUAAACCUUGAUUGUGAUUGGAUUCCGUUAUCAGCAACAGCAACCUUGUUUGUAACCUUGAAAGUCAUUCUGUCCACAUCGAAACUCCAAUUUGACGUUUGUAAUUACCAUUCCUGGAGUGUUCCUUGAUUGAAAUUUAAAUAAUAAUUGCGGCCCACAAGGAAUAUUUUCGAUUCUGUGGGAAUUUGACAAGGUUUGUUAGAGAAGACUGGUGACAUGUUGACUUCAAUGGUUCAAAUAGGAGACGUAUGUGGAUUUGGGGGGUUUAAUUGAAACUGAGUCCCUAUGGCUUUUUAAUAUUUGCAUUGAGCAGUCUCCAUGUGACUUCCUAAUUCCCACCAACCCUCCUGUCCAUGCUGUGAAACUAAAUUGUAAUUUAUCAGCCUUUGUCAAUGGUUUCUAAAUUAAAGAUAUAGACCAUGCAUGUACUUUAAUAAAAGCAAAUCUAAAGUGUAGAUAGCAGCAAUGGUGACACCCAAUAUUCUCCAUAAAAUAGAAUUAGAAUAAGCAGUGUUACAUUGUUCAUGAUCACCUACAAGCAUACAAGAACUUCCAUGAAUAACUCAUAGCAAUUGCCAACAGGGCGUCGUAGAGACUCAUACAUAGAACACUAUCCACCCAGAGGAAAGGACAAGACCAGUGCGCUGCAGCUCUUAUUUUUCACAUGUAUACCACCACUCGUAAUAACCAAAUUCACUCAGUUGGGAUAGGUGGGAGAUGGUGGUUUGUGGGGUGGCUUGUGGGGAGGAGUUGGAGGAGGCUUUAUUUUCUGAGGCGGCUUGUAUGAGUGUGCAGGAGGAUGCCCGGGAGUGUGACCAUAAUGUGGUGGCUUCUCUCCCGUAGGUGGUUUGCCAAAUGGGCUUGGUGGCUUCUCUCCCUUAGGAGGUUUACCAAUUGGGGUUGGUGGCUUGUGUUCUGGGAGUGGUUUCUCUCCCUUGGUAGGUUUGCCAAUUGGGGUUGGCGGCUUAUGUUCUGGGAGUGGCUUCUCUCCCUUGGGAGGUUUGCUAAUUGGGGUUGGCGGCUUAUGUUCUGGGGGCGGCUUCUCUCCCUUGGGAGGUUUGCCAAUUGGAGUUGGCGGCUUAUGUUCUGGGAGUGGCUUUUCUCCCUUGGGAGGCUUGCCAAUUGGGGUUGGCGGCUUAUGUUCUGGGGGUGGCUUCUCUCCUUUAGGAGGUUUGCCAAUUGGAGUCGGCGGCUUAUGUUCUGGAAGUGGCUUUUUUCCCUUGGGAGGUUUGCCAAUUGGGGUUGGCGGCUUAUGUUCUGGGGGUGGCUUCUCUCCCUUGGGAGGUUUGCCAAUUGGAGUCGGCGGCUUAUGUUCUGGGAGUGGCUUCUCUCCCUUGGGAGGUUUUGUUGGUGGCUUGUGUUCUGGAGAUGGCUUCUCCCCUGGAGGCUUGUGCUCCGGAGGUGGCUUCUGAAAUGGCGGGGGCUUGGGGUAAUGAGCAAGAGAUGGAGUACUGGUGAGAACCACCAUUCCAAGCAACAAUACUAGCAAGCAUGUGGGAGACAUCUUUGAGUAGUUGUAGCUAAGAUGGCGCAACACUGUAGGCAUUGGGUGGCCUUUUAUAAAGGGCUGGACCCAACAGCCAUAUGACACGUGUCAUGAUGACAAAUGAAGUUGAGGGGAUCCAGAUGGGUCCUACUGAGUCGAAAACUUGCACUAAUUGAUCUGGUGAGAUGACUAUUUCUGUCCUUUUGCCCUUCUCGGCCACCCUGUGCUGUUUUCCUUUUGCACGAUUUUCGUUGCCAAACAAGCAAAUAAUAUUUCGCCAAGAAAGAGGAGAGUGAAUGUGGAAUGCAUCAAGUCCCAUCAAGGAUGGCAGAGAAGAAAUAGAAGAUUGCCCAACUGUGAUAAACAUAGCAUACACGUAGCACCAGGAACUUCAUUUACUUCCAUCUAAUGGAACAUAACAAUCUUCUAAAGUUUUUGCAUGAUUUUGUUAUAUGUCUCUUAGCCUAAAGUUGGAAAUGCGCAACAAAUUUUGUCACUUCUCUAUUUCCCACUGAUGAUGUUAAUUAGCCUUCAUAGAUAUCAUCCUUUCUACAAAGUGCUUCAUUUGUGUGUUAUUGUAAAGUGUAAGAAAAGUAAUUGAACAUGUUCUUUUUCCUUUCAUAGAUGACUUUUGAUGUGCAUUUUAAAAGCAGCGCUGUGAGUCGGUGACCUUGAUUCACACGGAAACUAAGGCUCCUAUAGGACCCACUUUUAGCUGGUUAGGGGUGAAGAAAAUAUCAACUUUUCAGAGUGAUUUAAGUCAAGGCCAAGCCUCACUGUGUCAUUACUCGUGUGAAUUUUAUAUGCACAUACAUACAUAAAUAAAGUAUGAGACCCAAAUAACACCUUCCCUUUACAAACUUAACCCCAGCCGCUCUCUUUCAAUUCUUUUCACACAAGGGUAUUGACUCUAUAAAGGUCAAGAAAAUCAUAAUUUCCUAGGGUUUACAAGGUAAUUGGCUUAAUGCUAAUGUGAAAACAUAAAAGAUAAUAGUAUAUUGUAAGCUAACGAAUAUUCUAUAGUUAUAAUUAUUUGUGAUGUGCAUAAAUAAAUCUUCAUAUAUAUAAUGGAACAAUGAAUAAAGAACCAAUGAAAAAAUACUAUAUAUCAUUGCUUGGCAUUUAAACCGUAUAUGCUGCUCUUUCUAGCUACUCCAUCCACUGAAAGACAACAAGGUAAUCCAUGUUAUAAUGAUAGAAGAUACUGUCUCUAGGCUUUUUGUGAUGAAAAAUAUAAGAUAUGGGUAGGGUUGACCCUUGUAUGUUUGUCCUAUAAACACUUCAAAGUAACAUAUUUUUCUUCUUUAGCAACUCAUAAUGAUGGGGUUCAUUUGCAUGUCACUGAGUUGAAAAGUUGGACAAUUGCCCAUGUCGCCUUCCUCCUAGAUUCCGUAGUUCACGGGAAGGUAACUCAAGUUUGACAUAUUUUGAAUUCUUUUCACUCGGACGUCUUCAUAACCUGACAAAACAAAAAUGAAAAACAGAGGAUUGGUAUAUUAUUCAUGGUAAGCCUCAAAUUAUAGUAGUAUGAGAAAGGAGAAAAAGAUUUUGGGAACUCCAAUCUGGAUAAUUCUCGUUUCUUCUCUUGAAUAAAAAUUUCACUUACCUAACUUCGUUUGGAGAAAUGGCAUAUUUUAAUUUUGUACGUCAUUGCUAAUAAAUGGAGCAAUUUAGCAUGUUUUGUGACUGAAACUGCAAAUGUCCAAUUGGCAUUUCUUCAUUUCCCACUUAGGAUCUGAUCUUGUAGACCAUAUAACGAUAUGUAUCUGUGCAAGCAUUGAAAACUAAUGUGAACUAUGAGGAGUUACAAGCCACUGGACUGUAGAGCGAGUGCCAAGAUUUAAAUCUUCAGGCUCUAUCUGGGUAAGGGGAGGAUAGCGACCUAACCUUUUACCAAAGGCUUAGAAUUUAGACUUUUGGAAAAAAAUUUCUCAUGUUUUGGCUGGAUUUCUUGUGCUUGGCGCAAAAAGGAGAUGGCCUCAAGAAAUAGCAGACUCACUUUUGUUUUCAGCCCUUAAUAAUUCUCCACUGCUUUCCAUAACUACAUGGGUUAUACAUGCAGUCUGCUGCAAUAUUCCAGUUAUAUUUAUUAUUUCAAAGAGGGUGAAUGACUUCACAUGCAAUAUGUUGCAGUAACAACCCAAAUUUUGGCACACCAUCUUAAGAAUAGAAAAGUAUAAUAAAAGAAAUCAAUCAGAGAAUCACUUUGCAUGCAGUUCAUAGAGUUCGCCCAAAAUGGAGCCACAUGUACGGACAACCCCACAAUAGACAAUCUUCUCUAUACAGUAAUAAAAUACAGAAAUGGUUAAUGAAGCUCUGUAUUUCCUUAUCAUAUAUGACCGGUUGAAAACUCAGCAAGUCUUCCUCAAUCACAGACAGUUGGAGUUGCUUCAUCAAAAUCAUGCCUUCAUUACUGGCUUCAUUUUGGUUUCAAUGUCUGUUCUACCCUUAAAUUGGGUCUCUGCUUACUACCGGGAUAUCCUUUAGCGUCCUGCAAUUCUACUAGAUUAAAGAGAAUGACUUAAUUCUGCAUUCUGCCGUCCCUAGUCCAAGUGGUACUAGAAUUGAUGUUUCCUUUAGUGUCCUUUCUUCAUACUUUCAGGUUCUUCCCUUGUUUCAAUAAUGCUGUUUUCCUUCAUGUUUAACCUCUGUUGAACCACUUAAAACAACACAAUUUGCACACCAAUGUUUCUUUACAGAAAAGACUGUUUGCAAAAAUGCACAUGUUAUAAGGUUAAUGGAAGAAUUAAUUUGGGGAUAAGGGACUAGGAUUGGGCCAAUGAAGUUUGGUGUUAAAUUUUGAUUAUGAUUGCUUUUCAUUAUCAGGUACCUUAUAUUUGCUGAUGCUAUCUGGAACUAAAUUCAAAUCAGACAUUAUCCGAUUACUAACAGGACAUAUCAUGUCCCUCUGCAGAGUUUCUAAACUAACAUGUAUCGAAAUGUGGCCCCAAAAGGAAGGCUAGGAAGAUGGAGGAUUUUGUAGGAAUCGACCAGAAUCAGAUGGAAGAGAGAUAGUCCUGUUGACUUUAAUGGUUGUGAUAGGAACAUGCAUCAUUAUAUGAGAAGUUGCAUGAAUUUAUGUAUCCUGUUAUCGUUCCUUGACGAUUUCCCAAUGCAAUUUCACUGUCCACAAGACUAACCUCUCCAUGCAGUCAAAUGAAUUGUAAUUUCUCUAUUGGUACCAGUAGUACAUUUCAUACCAAACAUAUAGUAAAUAUAAAAUAUAAAUAGAUCAAGGAAAUCUGAAUUGUAGAUAGCACUGCAAGUAACACUCAAUAUUCUCUAUAUAUAAUAAAAUAAACAGUGUCACAAUACUCAUCACCCAGUGGCAAGGGAGAAAAACCUACAAUGAGUACUCAAAUCACCAUUCUCAAACAGAAACAUAGCAGUGACUGAUACAUAGAACCUAUAUGCUCACAGGGAAAGAAUAAGAUGACCAGUGCACAGCGGGCAGCAGCUCUUAUUUUACGUACAACUCAAAUCCCAAACUAACCAAAGUCGCUCAGUUGGGAUGGGUGGGAGAUGGUGGUUUGUGGGAUGGCUUCUGGGUAGGAGCUGGUGGCUUCUGUCCCUUUGGUGGUUUGCCUAAUGAGCUUGGUGGCUUGUGCUCCGGGAGUUGUUUCUCUCCCUCGAGUAGGUUUCGAGUCUUGUCAGAUGGCUUGUGUUCUGGUGGUGGCUUCUCUCCCUGGGGUGGUUUGCCGAAUGGGCUUGGUGGCUUGUGUUCGGGGAGUGGCUUCUCUCCCUGGAGAAGGUUACGAGUUUUGUCAUAUGGCUUUUGUUCUGGUGGUGGCUUCUCUCCCUGGGGUGGUUUGCCGAAUGGGCUUGGUGGCUUGUGUUCGGGGAGUGGCUUCUCUCCCUGGAGAAGGUUACGAGUUUUGUCAGAUGGCUUGUGUUCUGGUGGUGGCUUCUCUCCCUGGGGUGGUUUGCCGAAUGGGCUUGGUGGCUUGUGUUCGGGGAGUGGCUUCUCUCCCUGGAGAAGGUUACGAGUUUUGUCAGAUGGCUUUUGUUCUGGUGGCGGCUUCUCUCCCUGGGGUGGUUUGCCAAAUGGGCUUGGUGGCUUGUGUUCGGGAACUGGCUUCUCUCCCUUGGGAGGUUCAGUUGGUGGCUGCUGUUCCGUAGGUGGUUUCUUCACCGGCGGCUUGUGCUCCGGAAGCGGCUUCUCUACCUGGAGAAGCUUACGAGUUUUGUCCGAUGGCUUGUGUUGUGGUGGUGGCUUCUCUCCCUGGGGUGGUUUGCCAAAUGGAGUUGGUGGCUUGUGUUCGGGGAGUGGCUUCUCUCCAUUGGGAGGUUUAGUUGGUGAUUGGUGUUCCGUAGGUGGUUUCUGAAGUGGGGGAUGCUUGGGGUAGUCAGCAAGAGACGAGGUAGUGAGAACCACCAGUCCCAGCAGCAACACUAGCAAGCAUGUGGAAGACAUCUUUGAGUUCAGGCUGAGAUCUGUGCAAGGAUAACAGAAUUAGGUGGCCUUUUAUAGAGGCCUGGACCCAACACCCAUAUGACACGUGUCAUGCACUCAUGGUGACACAUAAUUCUAUGGGACCAUUUGGGUCCUACAGAAGUUGCAAAGUUGGACUACUGAGGUGUGAUCACAACUUUUGUCCUUAUUGCUUUCUCUGCGGCCAUUGCACGAUUUCCUUUAGCAUCAUUUUCUUGGCUAAAUAAGCGUAUUAUAUUUGUGGCAGACCGUCCACGUGUCAUAAACAGAUAUAUUAUAAUAAUGUAGUAUGCUUUUCUCCAAUGGAACAUGACACUCUUCUAAGUCUUGUUUUAAAUAUUGUGCAGGAUUACUUUAUACGUUGCAGUUCCAAGUCAAAAUUGGUGGGCAAACGUUGGCCUUUUUUCAUUUCACCUAAGAUUAAUGCUCACCUGGGAUAGGCACUACAUGACUUAUCUGCUCUUUUACUGUAAAGUUGCUUUGUGUAUGAGAUACACCUCCCCUGCACACCCUCAACAUUCGUUGCUCUGUUUUCCUUGUGUCCAGACGAGGAUAUUAAUUGGAGGCUGACAAAACGACUGCUAGCCCAGGAUUUACAAGGUCCUGGUUUGAGGCUUCGGUGAAAGUAUUUUUGAAAAGACACACAUAGAGAUAGUGCGUUUGGUGCAAUGCAGCACUGUGAGCCAUUCUGACGCGUUCUUAAUUUCAAAACUAAUGAAUGCUUCAAAAUUUUAAGAAGUGACAUUUCCAAAUAUUUGAGUUCGUUUAAUUGAACAUUGGAUAACUAGUGAUCAUAGAUUAUUAUCUGUGCUUGGCACUAUAAGAGGGUAUAUGCUUCUUUUUCUGGCCCCUCCUUCAAGGGAGGAGGGACAAUGUGAUCUGUAACGUUAGAAGCUAUUCCAUGUCAUCUUUGGGCUCAGUUCAAAACUAAAAGAUAAUGGGGGGGGGGGGGGGGGGCAUAUCAUUUUAUAUUUCUUCUAGAAGGUUUGUUCUGGAAAUAUUUCACAGGAGCAUAUCUUUUUCUUCUAUUACGUCAUCCGCAGCCUCCAAUAGGUCGGUUAACAAGCCACCGAGUUGAAAAGUUGGAAAAAUGGGAACACAGCCCGCCUCUUGUAUUCAGUAGUUAAAUAAAAGGUCACUAGAAGUGAGAUCCCUUUUGGCGUCUUGAUUUUCAAUCCAGCACCUCUGUGACCUGACAAACCAAAAAAACUAAAAAAUAAAAAACAGUACGUGGGUUGGUGUUAAGCAUCAAGACAUGUUAAUGAAAGAAGGUAGAGAAUAGGAUAUUGAAAUCCCAAUCCUGAUAACAUGAUUUUCUUUGCUAACAACCAUAUUAUAUUUUAUCAAGAAAGAGUAAUGCAUGUGGCGUCCAUCAAGACCCAUUAGAGUUCCGCUAAAGCUAUAGUUCUGUCAACGUUAUCAUUUACGUUUCCUCUAGAUAAUGGCAUUUUCCUCUAAAGCUCUUGCACCAUUAGGCUUCAAGUCAAAAUUUCACAUGUGAACUUUGGAAAUUUUCUCCAUUUGCCCCUAAGGAUACAGUUAGAAUUGACUUAAAAUCCUGAUUGAUAUGUACUAUUAACCAAAGAAUAUUGUAUAUAAUAAUUGAAAUAUUGUUGAUUCAUCGUGGAAAUACAUUUUGUAAGGAAAGUUGUUGAGAAUUUAGUAUGCUAUAUGGAGAAAAAAGUCAUGACUUAAGGUUGUGUAUGUAUAUUCUAUAUCAAAUAUUAGGUAGGAAUGUGGGAAAGAGCAGAGUGUAAUGAUAAGAAACAAAGAAAUAUAAGAUAUUCUUGAAAGUGGAAAAUAUAAAAUGGCUAACGAGUCAAAUUUAUGAUGCGUAAGGGGGAUCAUGUCACAUAAGAAAACCAUGGCAUACUAAAGACGUACGUGUGGUAUGGAGUAAUAAUUUUGUUAAAAUAAGUUUCUUGUUGGAGUACAUUAGGUGACUAUUCAUAACGUAUCAAAUUAAAGAGUCAAGUGCAUCAAUGAAGGCAUAUGUAGAAAAUUUGUUUGUGACAUGUACCAUAAAGAUAAGAUUGACUUGAUAGAAUUUAGUCUAAGUAGGAGUUGUUAAAGGUGUCUUAAAUUUCUAAUUGAUGUAUAUUUUUUUCUAAAAAAAUAUUAUAUAGAUAUUUUAAUAAAUGAUUAAUUCUUUGUAAAAAUACUUACAUAAUAAAAAACAUCAUUAAAAAUAUCUUUAUAAAUAUUUUAAGUUACAAGAAGGAAAAAAACCACUGUGAGAUAAUGAUGAACAUGCAACACUGUACCAAGUAAAUAAAAAUGUGAUAAAAAAAAAAGAGAAACACUCGAUAAAGGAAGGCUCGUAUAUAAAGAGUAAUAUUUUUAAUCAUAUGAUAGAAUGAUUUUCUCUCAUUCAUGAAUAUAGGCAAGAUUGGGGAACCAUUAUAAAAUUUUGUACACCUCGUGUAAAUUGAUGUUUGUCUUCAUAUUUUACACCAACAAAUGACAUUGAAGUUGUCAUUGAUAAAAGGGAAAAGGCAUGCCUCCACACCAUGUGCUUGAUUCGAAUGGUUCAAGUUUGAAGAAUUUUCUCCGGAAGAUCUAAAACAUUUUCGCCUUUAAAUUUCAUUUGAUUAUUAAUAUCCGAAAAAAUAGUUAAAUACUCUUUCUAUUUUUGAGUUGUUGAAUUUUUUGAAAGUUUUUAUAUUUGUUAUCAAGAAUUUCUAUUUUAUUAAGGGUGAAUAUUUAUAAAUAAGAUAUUAUAUAAUAUUUGGAUAAGAGAGAAUGGUGGAAUAUAAUAAAGUUUUAAUCCUUCCCAAUUUUGAACCUUUUUUUUUUUUUUUGAUAUAAUCGCCUUUCUCUUGCAAUCCUAUUAUCAGGUACCUUAUAUUUGCUGAUGCUAUCUGGAACUAAAUUCCAAUCAGGCAUUGUCCAAUUACUAAUAGGACAGAUCAUAUCUCUCUGUUUCUAAACUAACAUGUAUCGUAAUGUGACCUCAUAAGGAAGGCUAGGAAGAUGGAGGAUUUUGUGGGAAGCGACCAGAAUCAGAUGGAAGAGAGAUAGCCCUGUUGACCUAAUGGCUGUAAUAGGAGAAGCGUGUGGUUUUAUGGGACUUAACUGAUACUAAACCUGUAUGAUGCUUGGAGUGGUGUUUCUUUCAUUUUGUUAAGAAAAUAUGGCAGCAUACAUGCUUUCAACUGAGUGCAUCAGAGCAUCCAUAACAGAUGGUCUGCAACCCUAGGUGCAUGCCACUUUCUGACUGAUAAUGAAAUUGUCAGGUACCUGGCCUUGACUAAGCUCAACAGCAUCACAUAAAGAGAAGCUUUCAUACUUAGAUUACUGUUUAAAGUUUUUGCUUAUUUGAUUUCUUAAUGCCAUUAUGACAUUAUUGAUUCAAUUCUGCUUCCGAUUUUCGAAGUUCUGGGCAUCUACUGAUUGCAUCAUUAUAUGAGAAGUUGCAUGAGUUUAUGUAUCCUGUUAUUGUUCCUUUGCGAUUUCACUGCUCACGGGACUAACCUCUCCAUUCAGUCGAAAUGAAUUGUAAUUUCUUUACUGGUAGCAGUAGUACUUUUCAUAGCAAAGAUAAUAGAAAAUAUGAAAUAUAAAUAGAAGGAAAUCUGGAUUGUAGAUAGCACCAUAAGUAACACUCAAUAUUCACUACAUAAUAAAUAGACAGUGUUACAUAGGUAGAGAAACCUACAAUGAGUACUCAUCACCAUUCUCAAACAGAAACAUAGCAGCGACUUAUACAUAGAACCUAUAGGCUCGCAGGGAAAGAGUAACAUGAUAAGUUCACAGCGGGUAGCAGCUCUUAUUUUACGUAUUACUCAAAAUCUCAAACUAACCAAAGUCACUCAGUUGGGAUGGGUAGGAGAUGGUGGUUUGUGGGGUGGCUUCUGGGUAGGAGCUGGUGGCUUCUUUGUUGGAGUUGAAGGAGGCAUAUUCUUCUGAGGUGGCUUGUAUGACUCUUCGGCACUCUCUGCAGGAGGGUGCCCAGGGUUGUGACCAGAAGGAGGUGGCUUCUGUCCCUUUGGUGGUUUGCCUAAUGGGCUUGGUGGCUUGUGCUCCGGGAGUUGUUUCUCUCCCUCGAGUAGGUUUCGAGUUUUGUCAGAUGGCUUGUGUUCUGGUGGUGGCUUCUCUCCCUGGGGUGGUUUGCCGAAUGGGCUUGGUGGCUUGUGUUCGGGGAGUGGCUUCUCUCCCUGGAGAAGGUUACGAGUUUUGUCAGAUGGCUUUUGUUCUGGUGGCGGCUUCUCUCCCUGGGGUGGUUUGCCAAAUGGGCUUGGUGGCUUGUGUUCGGGAACUGGCUUCUCUCCCUUGGGAGGUUCAUUUGGUGGCUGGUGUUCCGUAGGUGGUUCCUUCACCGGCGGCUUGUGCUCCGGAA